GUAACUUGUUUAACAUUAAUUUAAUUAUUGGCACAUAGUACCUUUGCAUAACAGUGAGGUUCUUUGUGGUCUCUUCACAGGCACACCCAGGACAAUUUGGUCAUUUCGUUUCCCAGAAUCUUCUGAAUCCUCUUCAGAUACCCUAUUGGUCUUCCUUCUAUGUUCUUGAGAUCCCCCCUUUUCCUUUUUUUUCUUUCUAGUUUCCACAUAGAAGAGAAAACAUAGGACCCUCGAUGGAUGUUCUGAGUCUGGCUUAUUUCACUUGACAUGAUGUUCUUCAGAUCCAUUUAAUUUCCUGCACAUGAUGUAAGUUUAUUCUUCUCUAUGACUGCAUAGAAUUCCAUUGUGUAUAUAUACCGCAUUUUAUUUAUCCUGUCAGCAAAACGGUCACUUCCAAAUGUUUCUGCCAGCUCUGGUCAUGCUCUAGGGCAGACUGAAGUCCUGAAUAAUACCUGUUUUGUUACACCAUUGCAACGUGUGGUCUGUGAGUUGGAAAAAGACCUGAGGAUUCUGACACAGGGUAGCAGACAUUGUUUCACGAGCAUCGCUGAAAUUCUGUGGCAUGAAAUUUAGGAUUAAAGGAGGUGAUCAAGUCAGUCAAUUUUAUUUUAUUUUUUUGGUACUGAGGAUUGAACCCAGAGGAGGUCCACCACAGAACCACAUCCCCAGCCCUUUUUUAUAUGUUUUUUAUAGACAGGGUCUUGCUGAGUUGCUAAGUGCCUUACUGAGGCUGGCUUUGAACUCGCAAUCUUCCGCCUCAGCCUCCCGAGCCCCUGGGAUUAUAGGCAUACACCAUUGUGCCCAGCAAGUCAGUCAAUUUUUUAAACUAUGAUUUCCCAGGGUUUGUCCUAAGUCCUUGAGAUUCAACAAAAGUGCAUGUAUUGUACAAGGAAGAAAGGCUAGGGAGAAGGUGGGGGGGGGUCUCACAGGUAGAGCAUGUCUACAUUGCAGUGAAGACUACAGAUAUCUAUGGGGGCUAAACAGAGGCAUUAAAAUACAUGUUAUUAUAGGAGAAUGAACCAUGUGACCAGAAGGACAAAGUGAUAACAUUUAUAAUGGGAGCAGAAGAGAAGCAAGGGAUGACAAGGGCCUUUACUCUCCAAGUAUCACCCACAUCUCUUCUGUGGCCAAAUAAAGAGAAUGAGGGAAGAUAGUAGUGACUCUAGUUGAAUAUUUUAUUUCCCUUAAGAUAGAACAUUAUUUUUCAAAAAAUAAUUAUGAAACAUCUGAGCCAAACUUAACUAUAUAUGCUUUAUAAUCUAGAUUCUUGGGUACUCUACAGAUUCAGUACAAUUUUUAUGUGCCACUAUGAUUUGUUUUUUAAUUUUUUUUUGAAACCAGAGAUUGUAGAUGAUAUUUAUUUAUUACACAGUGUACAUGCAUUUAUACACACACUAAAGUUUGAGAACUGGGAGGGCAUAAGAAGCAAUGGACCAACCUGGCUCUUACAGCAAUCUAACAGAUGUUGGUGAAGAAAUUUUAAGAAAUGUCACCAUUUUAUCCAAGAGUACAUUAUGGUUCAGGAAGGGAAAAUGGAGAAUAACCAGGCUGCUCUGUUCUACUUUAUAAUAGCAGAUUUCGAAAGCUUAAGUAAAAUACUGGCUCCAUUUCAAAUCACAAGUCUUUGAAAAAGAAAUAGCUUGAAAGGGUUGAGCUUCUCUUGAAAUUCAACUCAGUGUGCAAUUAUUUGACCUCCAUGGGAUGAACUGGCAAGGUAUCUAAGCGUGCCAAUGUGGUUGUCUAUGUGGAGGGCUCUCCGAGCUCUGCUUCCCGAGAGGAAGUGCACAAGAUUGAGCAGUAGUUAUGGGACUUUCCAUUCAGGGGUACAUAGAAGAUGUGGCACAGAAUCAUUGUGUAUAAGGAUCGCCUUUUCUGAAACAAACUCGGGCUGCUAAAACACAGAACACAGCCCAGGCUGAUGUACUUAACUCACUUAUUCCUUUAGCCUCUUCAUUUCAUAAGAUCUAGGAAAAGAAGGCCUUGCUUUUAGGAUUCGAGGUGAAAUGAUAAGAGCUGAUCUCAUUAACUGCUAUCCAUUUUCCAGGUUUGGACUUAUUUUCCUAUAAAAUGUACUUAUAAAAAUAAAAAUGCCACUGAAAGAGAACUGUUUUUCCCAAACAGAACAAAGUUGAAUUUGGAACUAUGACACUGCUCUGUGACUUUUUAAAAAAACUUCAUUGAGUGUCAUUCUUCUUAUCUUUAAAAAGGAGGGAUAAUAAAUAUUGGAUUUGUUAUAAUAAAGAAAUAAUAAAUAAAAAAUGUAAAACUCUUGUGCAGAUGCAUAAAAUAUUGCCUUUUAAGUCCAAUUUCUGUUGACAGUUUCUUAGCUAUUAAAGGUUUUUGCAAAGAAAAUAGGAAAUUGAUGAACAUAUGUGGAACCCACAUGUUACAUAUUUCCAUACUGAUUGGAAAAUGGAAGAUGUAUCAAAACAAUGCUGUUCUGAUUUUUAUAGUGGAGAUUCCAGAUUCAGAAAACUGAUGGUUAGUUCGUUUAAUACUGAUUUUGUGCAUAUCAUCCUCCAAAUGAAAAAUUUACAUAUAUGCAAGACAUAAGUUGAUGCUGACUAGGUCCAGAUAGGAGUUCACUAAAGGAAACAUGCAUUGGAUAAAUUGAAUUCCAUUUUUUAUUAACUCUUAAAAAUUUGUUCUAAUUAGUUCUAAUGACAGUAGAAUGCAUUUUAACAUGUCAUACAUAACUGGAGUAUAACUUCUCAUUCUUCAGGUUGUAUAUGACGUAGAGUUGCACCAGUCAUGUAAUCAUAUAUGCACAAAGGAAAUAAUGUUUAAUUCAUUCUACUAUCCUUCCUACACCUAUACCCUCUCCCCUUCCUUCUCUCUCUCUGCCAAAUUCAAAUACCUCCAUUCUUCCCUAGCGACCCCCCCCCCCCGCGCCUUUAUUGUGAAUUAGCAUCUGCAUAUGAGAAAAAACAUUCAGCCUUUGGUUUGGGGGGAUUGGCUUAUUUGGUUUAGCAUGAUAUUCUCCAGCUCCAUCCAUUUUACAGCAAAUGCCAUAAUUUCAUUCUUCUUUAAGGCCGACUAAUAUUCCAUUGUGAAUAUAUUGACAGGCUAUUAGAAGUAUAGACCAGGGAAUUGGGCUCAACAAAAGCACAUGAAUUUUACCAAGGUAAUUGGUAAAAAUCCAUAUCUUAUAGUUUCUUUAUGUUAAAGAAAUUAAAAGCUACAUCUAUGAGUGUUUGAUUAGGAACUGAUUGAAUGAUUAUACUCUUCCAUGCUACUAAUUUUUCUCAGAAACCUGGUUAUUGCCUCUUAAAACUUGUGAAUAUAAAAAAGAAAGCGAAACUAGAGAGGAGAUGUAAAAGAAGCCAAAGGGAAGAAGGAACAAAACAAAAAUUGCCAUGUUGGGGAUUGUAGGGCGAAGGUGAGGCUUCAUUCCAACUUUGAGGAUACAGCAGCCCUGAGGUGAGCUUGUCCCUGGAGUGACCAAUCUUUUCCCAAGGUCCACCCUCAUCCUCGAUGCUGCACAGGAUUACUGGAAAGGCAGGUUCUCAACCUCCAGAGCGAGGAAAAGGCAUCUCGAUACAGUGAAGAAAGGCUGCGAAUAAAAUCUUAAAAACAAUGUCUCUUAAAAGUCAGCAUGAGAAGCCGGCUGCUAAUUGGGUGAUAAGUACAGGUGGCUGGGAUGGGUUUCCUUUGCAGCUUUGUGCAUCUGUUUUCCUCCUUCCUCGUCUCCUCCUUUCAGUGGAAGAACAAUUGGCUCCGUUUAAAGUGGGCACAGGUGUGGCCCUGGAGCACCGAGAGAAUCAGGCUGUGGAUCCCCAAAUAAAGCUAGUUGCCACCUUGGGAAGAGCUCUGGUUUGCCUUUGACUCCUGGGCUAAGCUGCCUGUGCUGUUUGUAUUAGUUUUCAGGGUCCAGGGUAAAGUCCAGGAUUUCCUGGGCUUUCCUCUUUCUCUCUUGAAAUUGAAACAUGCGCUAGGUUGCUACCUAGACAAGCCUCUUUUUUUUUUUAAGUGAUUGUUAGGUGUUAUUCAAAAUAGUCCAGUCUUCUCUUAGUCAUGGGGAAGUGCUCACCCACCCGACCAGCUGUUCUGGGUGGAGUCAUCACCCUGUGCAGGCCAGGGUCCUGGGUGUAGUUCCUGAGCCGGGAGGCAGGGGGAGUCCCUGGGAGGAAGCAUGGCGCUGCAGGCUAGGGUUCCUCCUGUUUUCUUUGCUGCGUGUGUGUCUGGUCUGCAGUGUGUCCAUUUCAAGGUUUCCAGCCUUGUUAGGAUUUGUGUGUUUUCCUUUAUGUUUUAUUUUUGCCCUUUUGGUGGUAACUGAAAGGAGAUGGUGGGUGAACGCACACAGCAGCUGAGGGUUGAAAGGUUUCUGUAAUAGUGUCUUUUUUCCUUUUUUUUUUUUUUUUUUUAAGUACCAGGGAUUGAGCCCAGGGGCGCUUAACCACUGAACCACAUCCCAGCCAUUUUCAUUUGGAGACAGUCUCGAUAAUUUAAGAAAGAAACAAGAACAAAGCAAGACAGAAAUCUCUUCAUUUAGGAAAUGCCGAUACAGCAUUUUAGCCUUAGAGAAAUAAUAAAAAAAAACAUGUAGCUACUGGAACAUUGUGAUAUAAUUGUCAUUAUUCCAAGUUUACAGAUGAAGAAACUAAAGCAUAAGACAGUUUAUGUCCAUGGUCCCAAUUAAUGAGUAGAAGAGCUGGGAUCUGGCCCAAGUCUUUGACUCCUAAGGCUGAGGUGCACAAUAAUCACUGUAGCAAAAGCAAGAGAUUGGGGCAUUUAAAAGGGUUUUUAAAAUCGCACUGAAAUACAGACUAAUGUAAUUCAAAUAUUGAUUUGUUGUCAUUGGUUUUCUGUCACAAAUCAAAUGUCUUUUUGCAUAGUUAUAAUUAUAGAGAUGACCCAUUUUUUGAAAACAUUAUUGUUUAGGUUUUAUUUUUAUUUAAAAAAAGAUAUUAAAAAUUUUGCUGGGAAUUUAGCUCAGUAUCAGAGCACUUGCCUGGCAUGUACAAAACCCUGGGGUCAAUCUCUAGUACAAAAAAAAAAAAAAAAGAAGAAGAAGAUUGCUAUUAUAUACAUCUUUUUGCAUUUGUUUUCACUAUUUUCUUGGGACAAUUUCCACAAAAUAGAAAUUUCAAUUCAAGAAGGAUAAAACUUAUUUUUCCUAUUAUAUAUCGACAAGUUGAUUUUCAAAAAUUUUUUUCCAAUUAACCUCAACCUCAUAGUGAACACUGUUUCUUUGUAACUCUCCCAUGGUUAUUCGCCUUCGCAAAGGGUUUUAGUGAGCUCACUUUACUUCUAAAGUCAAAGUGGUGGUUCCUCUUAAAGCUAUGGGCAAUAAGGCUUGGUGAUUACUACCAAUAAAAAAGACAAAAAGUCUUUAUUAUUGAGUCCAACUCUAAUGUAAGAGAAGUGCAAAAGGGUUGCAGAAAGAUAAGAUGUUGUUUGGCUUCGAAUAAAAAGAAAAUGUAAUUCUGAUAAUCGGACAUGUGAACUCACAUGGAGAGCACCAAGCUCUCUAUUGCCUAAUAGUUGAUAUUUAUGAGGUAAGAAAGUCAGCCCUGCUUUCCCAGUGGCAUUGUUUGAAAAUAUGAAUUCUUCUUUGAUGAAGGGUGGCACAUUAAGAACAGUUAAAAAGAAUAGCUCUUUACUUGCAGAGAUGAAGAUAAGGGAACGUGAUACCCUUAAGAGCAUAAAAGACAUUACUCAGCCCCAUGUAGCAAAACCGGAAACCACAUGGCAGAGAUUUAUGUAACAUGAGGUUGAUAUGAGAAGGGACUUUAGAAUAUAUUAGAGAAAAUAUAGAAGGAUUAGCAAGAACUAAUGAAUUGUUGCUCACUUUUUUGAAAUUCUACCAAGUUCCUGAUGAGAAGUUGGAUUUGAAAAAACUUAACUUUUACCACUGGGCUGCCCCCGUACAUUAUGGCUUUUCUUAAGUGUGUAUUUGAUCUAUCUGAAAUGUCAGUCAGACUCCUGGGUCUGCGUACAACACAGAGGAGAACUGUGUCAAUACAGUUCUGAAAAAUUACAUUUCGAUUAUGUAAUUAAUCAGUUUUAUUUGUGUAAAUCACUAAAAUGGAAGGACUUAAAAAAUUUUUUUGUGAUGUUUGAAACGGUCAUUUAAGAGAUAUCGGCAAUAGUUUUUAAUUUUCUAUAACCAGAAAAACAAUGGAGAGCAGUGUCUUAGGAGAGAUGUAUUUUGUUUCUUAAAGGCAUAUGGACUCACUGUCUACAGAUUCAGCAAAUUUUAAACUGAAAAUAUUUUUUAAAAAAUGCAUCUAUACUGAAUAUGUACACACUUCUGUUCUUUAUUUCCUAAAAAAUACAGUAUAAGAACUCUUUACAUAGAAUUAUAUUGUAUUAGAUAUAGUCAUUAAGAUAGACAUGACUUCAAGUUUAUGAGAAGGUGUUUGCAGGCUACAGUAUUUCCACACAAUUGGCUAAUUGUCUUAAUCACUAUGAUUUAAAUUUAUUUUUACACAUUGUUUUUCUGAAACAUCCAAAUAACAGACUUUUUAUUCAAAAUUUUCAAGGAAAUAUUUCAAAGUCCAAAUUUUCUCCAGAUUAGAUGAUAUAUAUUCUUUGUCAUUAUAUAUCAAGUCAAGCAUUUUGUGGUAAAUUAAAUGUAGUAUUUACUAUUAUAGAUCAAUUACAUCAGUUCUUUUGGAGUAUUUUGAUGUUCUCCAGGGAAGUUAAUUAUUAAGGUAGGGAACCAGUAAGGUGUGCCUGUAGCUUCUUGGAACCUGAAUAGGAAAUGGGAAAAUGGGAUUGAUGUGCCUUUUAGUAGGUAGGCCAAAGGCAAGGGAGCCAGAUACCAUUAAUAUAUGCUUUCAAGAUUGCUGCACCUUGAAUAGCUGAUUUUGAAAAAUGACUCUCGGGGACAUGGAGUGGGCUGUGUGCAGGACACAGGCUGCCAUGCAGGCACAGGUACGAAGUUCAGGGUAUUUAUCAGUAAGAAAGCAAACUCAGUUCCAGUGGCCUAUAAAUCAUGUAAUACAAAGCGAGGCAUCUAUUUUUAUUAUGGAUCACUUUAUAGGAAGUAAAUGCUUCUGUUUCCCAUAAUCUUUAGGCAUAUAAAUGAGAAAAUUCUAAACAAAUGGAAUGGUCCAUAUAAGGAAGCAACCUACCUACUUCUAAAGUCAUCUCCCAGGGGAUCUCCAGUAGGUUCCUAACCUGACUAGCAAGAACAGACAGAUAGGAGUUAAAUUUUUAUGGUCAUUACAUUAGUUUUCUCAAAAUUUGCUCACAUCCUUUCCCUGGCAGGGUCUGAUUGCCUGUCAUGUGCCAUACUAACUACAGGGUGGUACCAGUCCCAGCCCCAGUAUGUUCAAAACUGUAUUGUUUCCACUUCUCCAUAUUAUUCUAUCACAAAUCGACUUCUCAAUAAGUAAUUGUUAUCACACCUAUUUUGUUAGCUGCUUUUUGUUGGUUUUGUGUUGCAAAUUAAUUAUUGAAAGCUCUAAAUUCCUAAAUCUUCACCCAGCUGGAGAAAACAAGAGCCCUUCUCUACAAGGGGUAGGGAGAAAAGGGGAACCAGUCAGGUCCUCAGGGACUUCAGAGACAGAAUUUGUGCAGAACGGAUGCAGUCCCAGCCCUCUAGGUUUAAAAUGGAGACUUCAAAGAGAAAACCCAAAUGAGAGUCCAUGAAGCAAUCGCCUCUUUCUUGAUUCUCAAGGCUUUGUUUCCUAGUUUCAUAGCCAGAUAUGUUCUCCUGGUUCAGAUCAGAGCAUUUCUUUAAAAUGAAGUGAAGAGUGUGUCUGAGGUGGGAAUGCUAUUACGUUCUCUGAGUUUCUCCCUUCAUUUUGGUAACUAAUAGCCUGACAGAAAGCUUUUUAAUAUGUUAAACAUGUUAAACUCUCAGCAUCUUUUGAGAAUACAGUGUAUCAUCAUUAACUAGUAUCACCAAGGCAUUAAAUAUUCUCAACACAGUCAUGAUAACUCUGUGAAAUAAUGCCUAUUUUAAUUAGCUAGGUUUGACCUUCCCACAAUGUGUGUGUGUGUGUGUAUACACACAACACACCAUAGUGUACACAAGAAAUACACAAAAUUUUACCUACUGAUGUAAAAUAAAUUUUAACCCAUAAAUUAGUGUUGUAAAUAAUCAGUGACUGCUGUUUAAAACUUUUACAUUUUCAAAGCAUCUUAGAAUGACCUUGAAGCUCCACUUUGUCUCAGGAAGGAUUUUCCUUGCUCUCCUAUUAUGUCUUUGCCCUUGAUUACAUCCUUCUGUGGCCUUCCAUCCCCUGACAACUGAUAUGCGAACACUCGAGCAUGGCUUAGAGCAGUGGUUCCCCUGACUGCCUGGGCCAAGUCCUCUUCUGGGGCUGCUACAGGACAGCUUGCUGGCCUCUAUCCUCAGUGGCUCAGGUCCGUGCAUUUGUAGUGGGGCCUGAGAAGGUUCCCAGGUGGUGCUGGUGCUGCUGGAUCAGGGGCCCCAGGUACGGAACUGCUGGCACAAAUGCUCUCCUUCUGCAGCCAAGAUGAACCCCAUCUGGACACUUCUCAUUCUCCAUGUGUUCAUUAAACUGUGUGCAAAUGUGAGUGUUCCUUCAUUCCUCUCUGCUCCUGCUCCCCAGGGUCUUGCAGCUGGACUCCUCUCUGUGAGGUCGUCUGUGACCGCCCAAGAUCUCCUCCUAGUCUCUCUUGCCGUCCUUCCCCACCCUUCAGCAUGGGUCUUACUCUCAGUAUAUGGCAAGUUCCUUGAGAACCUUCACUUUAUUCUGUACAUUCUUGUUUCCUUUUCUUGUAACUGAGUUUGGACUUUCUUGGAAGACCUAAAAACACUCAUUAAAGUCGUAAGUUUUACCUGCCAUUAUGCAGUAGUUACAAACAAAUACUUUGGAACAAAAUGUCCUGGAUUCAAAUCCCAGUUUUGCAGCUUCUGUCUGUGUAACUGUGGGCAGUUAAUUAAUCUGAGCCAGAGUUUCUGCAUCUGUGUAAGCAGGUGGCAUUCACCCAUUGCUCCUGGUGUUGCUGUGUUCUGUGACUAAAUGCAUAUUUGGCAGGCAUGCCAGGAGCACCUGAGUGCAUUUACCUGUUGGAAAUUAUCUUAGGGUCUUAUGUUUUUGACAACCAUGAAUAAAGCUGCUGUAAACCUUUAGUGCAGGCUUUUGUGUGAACAAAAGUUUUUAACUCAUUUGGAUGCAUACCUGGGAGCAGUAUGGCUGGAGCACUUGGUGAGGGAAUAUUUAGCUUUCUGAGGACGUGCUGAACUGUCUGUCAAAGUGCCUGUACUAUUUGCAUUCCCACUAGCACUGAAUGAGAGUUCUUAUUUCCUUACAUCCUCACCAGCAUUUGAUGUUGUCAAUGUUUUAUAUUUUAGCUAUUUUAGUAGGAGCAUAUGUUUACAUUUUUAAAUAUCUCCUUCCCAUAAAACUUCCUCGAUUCAUUACUGGCCAUGUGCUGGAGGAUGGUGCAUUGAUCAUGACCCACUGAAAUGUCCAGUGCUGGAGAGUCUUAGGUUCCUGAAUGGAAGCCAACUUCAAGAGAAACAUGCCACUCUAACUUCAUCAAGAGAGCUACCUGGUGACCAGGCACAGUGGCAGACACCUGAAAUUCCAACUGCUCUGGAGGCUAAUGAAGGACAAUCACAAUUUCAAGGUCAGACUGGGAAAUUUAGCAAAAUCCUGUCUCAAAAAUAAAAAAGGUCUGGGGUGUCACUCUGUAGGCAAGUGUUAGACUAGGAUGUGAGGCCCUGGGUUUGAUCCCCAGCAUGGGGGUGGGGGUGGGGACUGGUACACAGCAUGACUAGAACCCAAGUUACCUGAGGAACACUCUUAUCAAUCUUGGGAAGAGGGCAGUGCAGGCAAGGACUGACCUUUGACCUAAUCUCUCUUAAACCAUGUGGGAUUUCAUGAGACUGACCUUAAUAAAGCACGGUGUAGGGAGAAGAGUGAAGGCCUGGAACUGAGCCCUGGUUAAUGUAUCUGAUUUGCCACUACUUAAUCUGGUGACCUCCAGCAAGUCACUUAACCUCUGGACCCCAGAGAGAGUCGUACUGUAUGUUUUAUAAGAUCCCUUUAAGCUCCGAAACCCUAUGAUUCUAAAAUCAACCUUGCGUCUGCUCUGUCAGCACAGAACAAGGGAGACGGCCCAGGCAGCCCUCACUUUGAGACAGACAGUGUGUUUCAUCAAGCGGAAAACCCUCUUGAGUAGUCGUCAGCCUUUGAAGCUGCUGAGAUUUAUGACGGGGUGGCCUCAGGUAAAGUUCUUUGGGGGAGAACGUGGAACAUUUCAAAAAAAGGAGCCAUGCAUUUUGACGACCCAAGCUUGAGGAUCAUAGAAAAUAGCAUCUUUGACUGGGAAUUUGUGAUCAGUGGCAGCAGGGAGUUUGGAAAUGGAGUGAAAUGGACCCAUUUUCAGAGCCCUGGUUUACAGCCAUGCUCCGUCACACUGAGAGUCUUUAAUUUUUUUUUUUUUCAUUUUAGGUGAAGUUAGGAGGAUUGUAUGACAGGCAAAUUAAAAAUCGAGUGUGGUGACCAGGAACACAGAGGGAAUGACAGAAAAGGGCAUCGUCAGCAGGGUGAUGAGACACACCUGUGGCACCUGUGGCUAAGGCAGUUUUUAGGGGCCAAUGAAAUCGCCUCUUUCCCUUUGAGGCUGAUGGCUGGCAUGAUAUUGCCAGGAAUAAAAAUCCAUCGUUAGCUUUAAGAAAAUGAAAGGUGCCUCUCACCUGUUUCUGCCAGGCUUACAUCUUUAUCUGCAGUCCCAUCUCCCACAGAGCUAAUUGGUCAUUUGCGAAAGACUCUGGGGAGCAGGAAGCCAACUAGUUAUGAGAGAAGGCCUGAUGAUUUUUACCAACUCCCUUUGGUCGGAGAGUUGUCUUUAAUGAUAAUUGUUGGUUCUAAAAACUGUUCUUUAUGGUAGUGGAGGAAGAGAAUACCUGCUCAUCUGUUAGGCUAUUUUAAUCUUUCUAAAAUGACCCCCCUGAGCCUUUAUCAAUUUCUUCAUCACAUUAUCAUCUCUAACUACCUGUGCCAAUGGCUGAGCAGGUGAAGCCAGCCACAAUGGGAACAGCUGUCUUCCCACUCACGUUCAUGGCAGGGCCAUCUGCGUGCACUAGAAGGUCCCAUGGGUAUUUCUGUUGUCGGGGGCCUAGAUCCAGCCUCCUGGUGAUGAACGGCUCCAACACAAUAAAAGUUAUUUUCUGAACACUUAAAUGUCAGGAGGUCAGUGGGUCAGCAAGGUAGCCCUUUCCACCCAGUUUCUGGCACUGGUGUGUGGAGGCUCAGCCAUCUUCAACAGAGCCUUCUCAGGCUGCCCUGGGAACAUCUGUUCAACCCACCGAAAACAGCGUGGGCCCUAGUGCACCAGGCAUUUUAUGGUACAAACCAGAAAGAGUCUCACAUCACUUCCGAUCAUAUUCUGUUGGGCAGAGCUUAGUCACAUGUCACCUGGGGGAAAAAAAAAUCUAGUCUCUGGCUGAGAAGCUGUUUUCCAGUGCAAGUCCCACUAUAAAAGACAGAACACAUACUCUUUGUGGACAUUAAGUGACUAUACAGUGUUGUAUGAAUUUGAGAAAUUAUAGGUUGACUGCAGAUGAGACAUUCUCUAAGAACUUUGUUUAGGAAAGAAAGUAGGAUGUAGAAAUAUGUAACACAGGAUUGCAAAAAAUUUCCUUACGCGAUAUGAGAAAAAGAUGCUUCAGUGAAGAUCUCCUUCCGUGGCCUAUGGUAUGAUGCGCAGGGACCCCAGCCCUGGCCUCCCCUGACCUGCUGCUCCCCACCCAGGACUGCAUUUGACAGCAAAGUCCCGACCCACCUCCCUGAGGGAUGAGAAAGGCCAAGGGAGCUGCGUCCACUCCCCUGUCCUCAAGGGGGCCUGCGGUCCAUGUGGUCUGCCCUGGUCAUUCACUAGUUCCACUGCAGACAAAGGAGCAGCCUGUGGGCCCCGACCCAGCUCAAAGGCGUUUCCUCUGCCAAACAUUUUCCUUUACCUUUUAGCCAAAUUUUGAUUUGGAAACCUGUCUCGGCUUCAGCCUCUCUUGUUUGUAUUUCCACGUUUUCUUGAGACACUGAUGUCCACCUGGCUGAUAGAAGCUACUGGCAUACCAUUAGUGUUUCCACCCCAUCACAAAUGCUCGGUCCUCCAAAAUGAAGCUUUCUUCACUUUCUUCUUCAAAAACCCCAUAGCCUCUGUCACUUUUUUUUUUAAACUAAAACAUUAGCUAACACUAAAACGUUAGGGACUAGUUAUACUUCAGUGCAUUACACUGCCCCAUUUUUUAAGUCCAUAGUCUGACUCAAAGGAUCAACAUUUCUCACUUGUAACCAAAUGAUCAUCUCUGGGACCCUCUUUCUAAAUGUGGCCUCUGUGCUAUGGCCAACUAAUCAUGUCCAUUUCCAUUUGCUCCUGGAAGUUUGUGCAGUGGUCCAGGGCUGUGAAGGAAGGGGGGAUCAGUUCCAUUAAAUAGCAACCGAAUCAUCGUCACAAGCCUCAGUUCCCCUUCCUGGGGCUGCAUUUGUGAGUAAAACCCUAGCAGCUCUGUGUUUGCAUUUCUUGCUUUUUCAGAAACUUGAGAACAAAUGUUGGGCCGUUCUCUGCUUUCCCCAAGGAGGAAUUUCCACCUCUUCCCGUCUUCCUCCUUCAUUAUUUUUCUUAUCAGUUUUCCUUCUAAGUGCCUAUGCACUCUGACCUCCUCUGAGAACCUCCCUCUCCAGUCCCUUCUCAUCCAAACAGUCAUGUGUGAUGAAUUUUAAUCAUCUAACAUAAGAGCUUUAUUACUUGGGAAUUUCAAAAAUUUCAUAAGUAAUUUGAGAGAUGUGUUUUGUAGCCAUGCUUGUAAUUAUUGUUCAGAUGUCAGCAUCCAAAAUCUUUAUUUUUUUUUUUUUGAGGGUGUCAAGCACUGUGGCAUCCUGUGUCCUUUAUCUCAAGAACACAAGAUAAGUACUUUGAUUUUUAUAUAAAAUUUACCUGUUUUGCUGAUGACAAUAAAAUUUCAGUUUUUUUCCUAAUGAAUAGAGAUUUCAUUGGUGCCAUCCAAGUUUUGCAAUUGACUAAUUCAUAUUUAAAUUCCAAGAUGGCAUUUAAAAAACUUUUGAUGAAUAUAUUUAUAUACAUAUCAAAACAUAUUUUGAGUUGUGGAGUUGGAAAAUUUUUACUCAAUGACUUUUCAACUAUUACUAGUUGUGUGAAUUAGGGAAAGUUUAUUUCACCUCUGUUGUUUAGUUUGCUAAUCUAUAUUUUGUGAUAAAAUCCUUAUAGAGAUGUUAUGAACAAUAAAUGAAAUUAAUACAUGUAAGAUAUUUGCAAUGGUUUCUAGUAUAUAGUAUGUAUACUUAAAAUAUUAUUUAUUGUUAAUAUUAUUGCUAUAUAAUAUCUCCUCUAAAUUCCUAAGAAAAUAAUUUUUAAAUUAUGUAAAAAUAUUUUAAGUCUAUAUAAUGUCAAAUAAUAGUCUCUAAGAAUAGUCUUGAACUCUUAGGAAGAUUAACAAAAUUUACAAAUAAAGUAACUAUCUUCAAGAACCAAAGUAAAAAAAAAAUGUUGAGAGAAUUAAAAUGCUCAAAGUUAUCUGUUGCUUUCAAAGAGCUAUUGGUGUUGAAGCAUUCGAUAGUAAAAUACAUUGCUUAAAAAUUGGAAACAAACAAAAAUAUGAAAAGAUAAGUUCAAAGGGUCAUGAGUAUAUGCUGAAGAUAAAACCUAGAAAAUGAGGUGAAAGUCAUGCAGAGGAGCAGGAGGAGCAAAGGUUACACAGAAAGACAAAAACAUGUAUGAGCACAGGAGAUGUGUUUUGUACUAUGCCAUCACCAAGGUAUACAGAAGCAUAAGUCAAUUUUUUUUUAAAGAUAGAUAAAAUCCAGUUGAGAAGAGUAAUGGUUCUGAAAUCACAAGCUUGAUACUUUGUGAUUCAUCUUGGGGACUGUUCUUCAUUUCCUUUUGGACAUUUUCAGUCUCUCCCAUACUUAACUCUCUCUGGGACUGGCUCAGUUCGCCUCUCCUUCCCUCUUCAAAUUCUGCACCAUCUGCUCCUGGUUCUUCUCAUCAUGUCUACUUUCUAACUUACCGAUUCUCUGUGCUGUACUCUAAAAGAAACUAAUGCCUGAGUCUAGUUCCAGUUAGAAUCUUUAGGGGGACUGGUCUUUCCUGUAUGAACCAACUACCUCUCUCAAAUCAUGGAUCCUGAUGAUUGCCACCACUGCCUGGAUACCCUGUAUUCCCUUUGUGACAUAGGUCAGCUGGCUCCACUUCUCUGCUUGAACUCCAGGGCUUUCUCUCACAUUGGAAGCCACAGUACAGGAUAGUGGCCUGUGAGCCUCUACCCAGAGCAUGAUCACUCUUAGGCUGAAAUAAACUUUAUGGAGAAAAUUGAAACAUGGUUAUAAAUGGGGACUUUGUGGGAUAGUUUGGGUGCUGAUUCAGUAGAAUGGCUUUAUGUAGAGAUUCAGGGAGUACUUGAGAGCUCUGCAGAGCUCCACCUCUCUUUGGCUUCUCUUUUAAACAUUUUAAACCAUUUCACUAUCACUGCAUGGGAAUGUUGGGACAGAUUUUCUUUUCUAUUGAUUCAGAUAUGCACGGAGAAAGAAGUUAUUUUUUUGUUAAGUCUAGCAGUCAUAUGCAUAUUUCCAAUGAUUAUCUAAAUUUAUUUAUGCAACUAACAAUUCUAUUUGAAGAGAAUUCAUGUGUGGCUAGUCAGAACCACACACCAUUCAUUUCUCAGGCAAUGGUAACAAGUAUGGGUUUUAAGUAGGGAUGGAACACAGUUACAUUUUCCUCAUGGCUCACCUGGGCAUUAUCCAUAGACACUUUGUGUCUUUAAACACACACCCUAAUUCCAAAAUAAUUGGUAACAAUUAUCUUCCCACUCUCAGUAUGCCUGCUCAUAAUGAGGUCUUUAAAGAAGAAUAACCAUGUACAUAAAUUCUUAUUUUCAAAGCAUAUAGUGGCUAUUCAAUAAAUAUUUGUUACCUAAGUAAUAUUUAUUUUCUCAGUUUUAUUUUUCUCUGUAUUAUCCUUUAAAAUAGUUACUAAUAUUGAGGUAAAUCUUCAGGAGCAGAUGAUUUAAAAUAGACAAAAUACAAACAAAUAAAAGAAAUACCAUUACAUUGCACUUACUUUAAGAAUUCAUAGCCACUUAUACUUUAAUAUUUUGUUUUCAUAGAUUUUAAUAUGAAUGAUUCACUUCUACAAUCCUCCUGAGUGUCUUAAGCAAGAAAAGAAAUUAAUAAAGAAUACAAAGUAAUAUAUUAAUAAUAAAACAUUUAUAAGGUAGAAUUGGCAAAUAUUUCUAAUAACUUGUUUUUUGAAUCUUAUUUAAAACAUAAAUUUUAGAGAUGGCUUAUCAAGAAAAUUGGCCAUAAACAUUCAAAUUAGGUUAUAAAAAAGGAAGUAAAGCUAUAUUUGAAAAAAAAAAACACUGUAUCUGAUACCAAUAUACAAUUCUAUGUAAAAUUUAAAGCAUUUUGAAAUAAAAUACAUAAUUGAAUCAAGAUAAACAAGAUAAGCAUAUCAUAGCAUUUCACACAUAUAGUAAGAAGAGUAUACAUAAUUUAAAGCUAUGAUAUAAAAUUCAACAAAAAGUCAUUACAUCAGAGUGUUUGGGUUGAAUCUUUUGUAAUUUUCAAAGUAAAUCCGCUUUCUUACAUGAUAUUUUAUGUAAAGCGAAUUCUCCAUUUAACCAAACACAUUGACCAGGAUGAAAACGGUAUCAUAUGCUCAAACAUUCAGCAUGUCUUAUUAGAGAUGCCCUUGUGAAAAUCCCAGAUAGCUCUGGGUAAGGGGAUGUGAUAGCAUAAUAAAAGACUAAUGUAUUCUUCUUCUUCUUCUUUUUUUAAAGUAGGUUUUGUUCCAAAAUGGAUAGAUAGGUCACUAUUAAAAAUAUUGCUAUCAUGAAAUCAGUCAGUCAGAAAUGUGAAAUGGCCUCAGUAAAAUUAAGCCAAAAAGGUAAAUAAUGUUUUGCUGAGUGUGGUGGUACACGCCUGUAAUCCCAGGUGCUCAGGAGGCUGAGACAGAAGGAUUGUGAGUUCAAAGCCAGCCCCAGCAAUGGAGGUGCUAAGUAACCCAGUGAGACCCUGACUCUAAAUAAAAUACAAAAAUAGGGUUACGGAUGGGGCUCAAUGGUCGAGUGCCCCUGAAUUCAAUCCCUGGUAAUCAUAAUCAUAAUUAUCAUCAUAUUUUUUGGUAAGAUAAAUUCUAGAAUUCCAGUUUUCACUUGAAAAUAUAGAGCUAGGAAAAGAAUCAUUUCAUCUUUAAUAUAAACAAAACAAAACAAACAAACCCUGCAAAUCUACGAUGUGUGCCAAGCCCAAGAGAGAACUGAGGUCACAGAACGAACAAUUCAUCUAAACUUUGGAAAGACAAGUGCCUCAACUUCUACCUUAGGAAACCAGGAAAGAGCAAGUUAAACCCAGAGAAGACAAAAAUAAAAAUAAAUGAAUAUUAGGGAAGGUAUCAAUGAAACCAAAAUCAGAGAAAAAUAGAAAAAUUUAUUAAAACCCAAAAUUGUUUCUUUGGAUAGAUAAAAUUGAUAAACCAGUUGCCAGACUUCUAAAGGAAAAAAAAUAUAUAAAGAGAAUACAUAAAAAUAUAAGGAAUGAAAGAUGGGACCUGUCCACUGAUCCAACAGAUAUUAAAAGGAUAACAGAGGAAUACUAUGAGCAACUCUGAAAUUCAUAAAUUCGAAAAACUUAGGUGAUGGACCAAUAAACUAAAAGAUAAAUUCUAACAUGCUCAAAAAAGGUUGGGUAACUUGAAUGAUCUGAUACCUACAAAAUAAAUUGUCAUGUAUAUGUCAUGUACACGCACACACACACCUAUACCCCUUCUAGAAAUAUGGACUGUAGGCCCAGGCAAUUGCAUUGUGAAUUCUACCAACUUUUUUUUUUUUAAACAGUACUAGUUACAUUUUCCAGAAAUCACACAAGUUCACUAAAAUCAGAUAAACAGUACAAGAAAAGAAAACCUCAUAUCAAAAUACCUACAAACAUGGACACAAAUAUCCUCAACAUGUUAGAAAAUCAACUAUCAAAGGGAUUUUAUAUCAUGACCUUGUGAAGUUCAACCAAGGAGAAUGCAGGCUGACUCAGCGUUGUAAAAUAAAUCAAUGCCCCAUGUUGUGUGAACCUCUAUAAAGGAUUGUUACAACAGCUGGAGAAAAAGAACUGGAUAAAGUCAACAUCCAGUGAUUUAAAAAAAAAAAAAAGCUUCUAUGCUAACGAAACAUAGAAAGAAACUUCCUUAACCUAAAAACAGUAAAAAUCUACACGUCACAUCACAGUAAAUGGUGAGAGACUGAACGCUCGCCCUCUAGGUCAGCGACAAUGGAGGAUGGACCCUCCCCACUGCUGAUGAACAUGCUCCUGGAGGGAUCUGUCCUGCAGGACGUUCUACAGCUGGCUGUCACCCUAAGCCACACGCCGACUUGGCUUCUGUGCCUUCCCUGAUCUGCUGUCCCUACUCAUGAACUGUCCCACCUGGAAGAUCACCCUUGGUCCAUGCUCUGACACAGGCCUCCUGUCUCGGGAUCUGCUUCUGUUUACAGGACCUGGGACACCUCUCCUGCAGGCCUUGAUCUGUGUUCUGUGCUUCUUUCAGUCUGUGGACUUUACAUUGAGGCUUUAACGACUGCUCCUCAUGGUGCUCUGCAUGUGGCCCAUCUUCCCUCUCUUUCCCUACCAGGAGGGUGUGAACCAUCCAUAAAGGAUUGUGCAACAGUUGUCUGUCAUUGUCUUGUGUCUGUCUGUCUGUCUCUUCCUUCCGGGAUCCUCCCCUGUGUGUUACUUACUGACCUUUGGUUUGACAUGACGGCACUUGGAGAAUCACUCAGACAAAUCUCCUUUGUGGGCCUGUGCAAAGUGCUCUUUGUUUUAUGUGAUCUAGGAAUAGAAUUACUGUGUAAUUGAUGUGAUUAUGUGACUAUAGACACUUCCAGAAUGGUUACACUAGACUACUUCCUGGUGUCAUGCAUGGCAUGAAGGUUCCUCCUGCCCCCUUCCUCAUACACCCCUGUUAUUCUUUAUGUAAUUUUCUAAUUUUCAUCAGGUUUACAGCUAAUCUGCAGUGCUAUAGUCAGGCAAAUUGUCAUUCACAUUGCAUAAGAAAGUAGGAACAUAUAUUAAAUAUGACAUUUUACAUCCUAUCUAUGCACUUUGCCCCCACACAAAGCAGAAUCAAAAAACUUUGAGAAUGGAACCAACUGUAUAUGGAGAGAAAAUAAAGAAUAUCAGGAAAGAGCGACUGGUAAAGAAAAUGGUGCCCCUAAAUUCACAGUCUUUACAUAGACCAAGGAAUUGUCGAGACUUUGUGGCUGUAUAUUCUGUUGCAGUUAUUAAAAAGGAUGUCUCAAACAGCAUAAUUGAAAAACAUUCUGAAAUGAAAACUCCAGGUGAUCUCAACAAAACCUUUAUAGUUCUUAGUAUAAGUGUGUGUGUGUGUGUGUUUUUUUAAAUCAGUUUGUUAUGGAUAUUGAUCAAUUUAAACAUCAGUAUGUUAAGAUAAAUGUAAAAGUUUUAUUAUAUAAAGAACAGUGGAAAAGUUGAAACCUGCUACUUAAUUUUGGUAUUAGUAGAAAGUUAUAUGUUAAGAUAUUUUGUUUUUUGAAAUUUUUUUUUUCAAAAUACCUUUAUUUUAUUUAUUUAUUUGUUAAUGUGGUGCUGAGGUUUGAACCAGGGCCUCACAUGUGCUAGGAAAGCAUUCUACCACUGAGCUACAGCCCCAGUCCAAGAUAUAAGUUUUAAUAUAUUAAGGACAGUGGAAAAAUAGAAAUCUGAUAUUUAAUUACUAAAAUCCUGAGAAAAAUAAAAAGAAAAUUCAUGAAAACAUUGUAUAUGCCAUGGGAAAAGGAAAAGGAAAGGAAAGGAAAUAUUAGCCAUAAAUAGUAAAUGCAAAAGUUGAAAAAAAAAUGAAAAGUCCAAAAUUUCAGCUAUAAAAAUACUUGUGAUCUCUCACUGAAAUACAAAGAUGCUCAGAGUUUUUUAAAAUGACAAAUAAGGACAAAAGUAGAUAACCCACAUAUGCUAUAUAAAUACCUCCACAUCAAACAAAACUGUACCCUGGUGCUAACUGCCUGCACAGACCAAAUGAAAAUGCCCAUCAGAUGUGAAGGACAGCAGGACGGGGAGAAGUGUGCAGAAAGAAACAGGAUCAAUAACUGAACAACAGUGCAGAUCACCUCUCCUAGCUGUGAGCCAAGCAACCUUAAAACAACAGAAACAAAUAUGCUUGUCUUUAAAAGGAGGAUUGCACCAGCAGCAACUAAGUUUUAUCCUAAGAGCAGAGAAAACUUCAGCUUCAGAUAGUUAUUAAUGCAAUUCAUUAAACUAACAGAUUAAAGCUGAAGGCUCAUGUUACCAUUUCAAAGAAGCAGAUAAACUGUAUUGCUGUCAAGAGCCAAGAAGUGGCUGAGCAACAGCUGAGCUGCAGGAUGUUGGGCAGCUGCGGGUCCUCCAGCAUCCAUUUCCCAUGUAACACCAUCAGUGUGUGUCACAAGUGUCCCCGAAGGCUGGGGUCCUCUCAUUUCUGAGAGCUCUAAACAAGGCCCCUGCCAUGUCAUGGACCCAGGGCUGGAAGGAGGGGAGAAAGGACUUGGAGAGAAAGAUGACUGAGUGCUAAGUCGUGGUGAGAGGGGCCCCUUCAGGCCCCCUGAAAGCUGGUCUCAGCAGAGGCAUCUGAGAAAGAUGUGGCCAAAUGCCAUGUUGGGUGGGAUGGGCUGAAUCCUCAGGUGCCACUCCCUGUAGGCAGCAGUCCACUGGCUGGCACCAGGACUCCUCUGAAGAGGGAAGCUUCCCCCCGGCACAUCUGUAAUGGCCCAUGGUGAGGUCUGAAGGGUCACACAGAUUUUGGCCUCGAGAUGGAUUCCUCUGUUACCUAUUGUGAAGUUUAAAAAAAUUUCCAAAGAUAUCUAAUAAGAGCCACAGAUAACAAAAUUGUUUUGUAUGCUGGGAACAAGAAAACUUCCUUACCUUGAAAAUAAUUGUCAAAAUAUUAUUGCACAAUAUUACUUUUAAAGUGUCGAAUUUUUAUAAGUAGAAAUUGAAAAGGGAUGAUGAGUACUCUUAUUACCUCUGGAAAUCUGAAUCCCAUUAGGAAAUGUCCAAUAAAUGGUAUAUUGGAAAAGUGGCUAAAAAUAAGGUCAACUAGCAAAUAUACUAAUAAGUAGCAACCAAUUAAUAAAUGUCAGGAAGGAAAAUAAAAAGCAAUAUUUGCACAAGUUACCAAAGCCUGGGAAUAAACUUUAAAAACUAGCAAGCAAGUUGUCCAAUGCUUCAGAAAGUCUUUCAUUAAGAAACCUACACAGCUUCACCAAGGAAGUCCUGCAUGGAAAGAACUGGAAUUGUGAAGAUGUCAAACAGAAUAGAGUUACUCUGAAACUAAAGUUGAUCAAGAAGAAUCUCAGUCCCUGUCUUGAAAACAAAAUUGGGCAGGUUGAAUCUAACAUUGUUCUGCAUAUGUACGUGAUGAAAUAUAAAAAGGAUUUAAGGAUGAAGAAAAGCAUCUUUUAGUAGCAGUUUAUACUACAAAAUCACAGUCAGUGAUAAAAUUGCAUUAUUGAUGUAUGCAUGAGCAAGCUCCAUGGAGAAGAGAGUUUAGAAUCAAAAAUGGCAUAGAUGAGCAUGCAUGCUAUGAUUAAUCACUAAGGAAUUAGCAUUGUGUGGACCAUUAACCAUCAGUUUAAAGAGAAAAAGCUGAACCUGAUAUUGCUCAUAAUAAGUUCUAGGUAACUAAAAGGUAAAUUUAAUUAUAUACACAUGUUACCAUGAGACACUUCAUAAUCUUAUGCAAAAAAAUAGUAGACAAUAAAUACAAAAGACUAUUGAGGUUCGGAAAGAGAAAUAUUGACUAUAUCAUCAUUGUAGAGAUACUAUUUAGCAAAGAUAAAAUCAUUGCAAAACCUGGGAUAAAAUAUUUGCCAUUGAUUGUCUCACAGUGAGGAGGCUAACAGUGUCUCCUAAGUUGCUAAGGCUGGCUUUGAACUUGUAGUCCUCCCAAGCUGCUGGGGUUGUAGGCACGCACCGCCAUGUCUGGCCAAUGAACUCAUCUGAACAUGUUUACAUGUUCAAAGACUCUAUUUUCAAAUAAAUUCACAUUCACAUUUAUGGACCAUGAGGUCUUCCUUCUUGGGAGAUACAAAUCAAUCCAUUGCAAUCCCCAAUAAACCUCCUUUACACAAAUAAGUCUUAUUAAUUAUUGUCUUCCUCUGUGAUGCAGAGACAUAUUAAAGAGAAGACUGUUCCCUCUCCUAACAAUUUGCAGUGUAUUCCUUUAGAGAAAGUGAUAUGUUUGAAUAUAGUAGAAGUUCAAAUAUAUAACAAUGUCCACAUUAUUUCUGAGUCAACUCAAAAAUUCCUUCUCAUUUCGACUGUGAAGAGUGGUUAUUUGGAGAAAAAUCAUAAUGAUACUUAUAUAAUUAUUGUCACUAACUGAAAAAUCACAAUUAAAAAAAGUUGUAUUUGCUCAUUUAACAGUGAGCUUUCAGUCAUUUCAAAUGCUUAGGAAACUAUUUUGUGGGUGCAGUUUUUACUUCUGGCACAUGCCUGCUUUGGGAGGGUUCCAGGAAUAGAAACACAAAUGACCUAAAGAAUUAUGAACUACCAGCUGUAAUUUUGAGUCAAAUCAAGUAACGUGAAUGUAUUAUUAUUUUUUGUGACUCUCUUGCCAGGUUCCUUAAUUCUGCUUAUAUGUCCUUGCAAAAAAUACAACCACAGGUCGUGAUGACUUGUGAUGGUUUUCUGAGGUGUGUGAACUUCCCAACAUGCUCACAUGUUCUGAUACAUGUCAGUUCUCAGGGAUUUCCUUAAAACCAACGUGAGGAAUGUUAGAGGAAGAUUGCCAUUAAAAAUGAAAGGGGCUGGAAAAGGCAAACCUACACAAUUAUGUCCUGGAACAUUCCAUAGGACAGGUGAACAGUUAAGACGUCAUGUCGGUUGGCCAUGUUUAUCACUCUCUACCCCACCUUGUAGAUCUCAGCUUUGAGACAGGCCUAAGGGUUGUGCCACCAAAGUUGCAGAAAGUGGGUUUAAAAUCCCAUUUACAAAUCUCACAGAAGCUGUGCAGAAAUGGCAUAAAAUGUAAAGAAAGGUGAGCAUUUAUCUUGCAAAAUUAACAAUUUCUUUUGUGAGGAGAGGUUGGUUGAACUACUUUUUUUCUGUUCAUGGAACAAAUUUUUUGCUGAGACUGUCAAAACUGUUACAGUAAAUUGUACUCCCUCUGUGCUCAACACCUGAUUUCAUAUAUUGCCCUGCAAGAGAUGCCAUCUCCCAGGAUGCCCUGGAAGAGUUGCUGGGCUCAGCUAAAAGAAAACCUUGGUGCCCUGACACAGAACAUCUGGUGGAGUGUUCUCUUGUCCUGUGGCUUCGUUAAAUGAAUGCACAAUGUCAGCUGUUCCAGUAAAAUUAGUUUCCUAACCAAGAGGGCCUGGGAUAAUUUGAUAACCAAUUCAGCAUCUUCUUAGUAUCACAUGAAGAAGUUUAAAAUCUUCUUAACUAAUUUUUCAUGGUUGGUAAUGGCAAUUCAUAUUAUUUUCACCCAAUAUCAAUCAUAGUGAUUAUUUAAAUAAUUUGAUCUUAUGCAUCUUUUUUAUGACAACUUGAAAGUAAACUAUGUUAUUUUUACUCAUUAAAAAAAGACUAUUUGGGAGAAAAAAAAUAAUAGUGUUUAUGUCUACAACUUUAAUUGUGAGUUUGUAUUCAUCAGGUUGGUCUUUUAUGUAGCUAAGUACAUAAUCUAAUCAUUAUCCCCUUUCUUCGCAAGUAAUUUUUAUUUUCAUAUUGAUUUUAUUGUGAUUGAUUCUGCCAUGAAUCAAUAGACACUUAAAACAUGGUUUCAAAACAAAGACAUUAGCCCCCUUUCUUUUAACAGUUUGCUCUGCUCUGGUCUAAUUUGAAACCAAGUUUAGAAUUUCUACAUUAAAUUUAUGAAUCUACUUGUGGUAUUCAGUCAAACAAAUAUGAGGCCAGAAACAAAUUCUUUCUUAGCUAUUCUUUCUUCUUAUAUCCCAUGUAAUUUAAAUGAUUUUGGACAGGUUUUUGACUACUUUGCUCCACUGGUGUUUCCAGACACUAUGCAACAGAACCUUCCUUGCUGGUUCCACUGCUGGGUGCUGAGACUUCACUCUCAAUUAUGCCUCCAACCUAAGCCAGGCUCUCAGCUGUUGUUCAUGAAUCUGUCAUUCUCUCUUGGUUCUAAUCAUUCUUUUUUCUUCAUAACCCUUCUCUUAAUUAUACAAACCUGUGACUCAGGGCGAACGUUGCUCUUAUGGGGCUGGUACUCUACUAGAAGAGGCAGGCAUCCAGCAAUUUCACCAUCAAUUGUUUCAGAAGUUGUAAUAAGUCCUGUUAAACAUCGAGGCCAGUUCUUGCUGAAACUGGCAUUUGAGUGAGCACUGAAAUGUUGGAGAGAGUGAACUGAUCAGGCUUAAAGGUUGUGACACCAAAGUUGCAGAAAGUAGGUUUAAAAUCCCAUUUACAAAUCCCACCCAGAAGCUUUCAGGAAGGAAGAGCCGCGGAAGGCAGAAACUCAAAGGCCAGAUACCUGGAUCUGGUGAAAGAGCCUGGAGUCUUUUUAUAGACUGGUGAGGAAACCAGGAACCAGAUCUCCUAGACUGCUACUCAGGAUGAGUGACGCCCAGGAAGGUAUCUUAUGCUAAGAGAAGCAGGAAGCUCUUAAAGGACAUUUCCUCACCUUGAUUUGACUUUCAAAUCUUCUCAUUGCUUGUGGAGAAACGGGAGCAGGUGGUGAACCAAGAGCCUGGAUGUGGGUGAGAGUCAGGGUGGUCGUGGAUUGGCUGGUGGUCCCGAUGGAGAAGCAAGUGGAAGGACUGGAGAAGACUGAGCAAGCCGAGUUGACAGGCACUUGGAGAGAGUGAGGGGGAGCAAGGCGGAUGGGGCCCAGGAGUGCGUGGCAGGCCUGUGUGGGGACAGCCUGGGGUCUCUGGGGCGCCAUUCCUGGAGAAGAGCCCAGCAGCCUGUUGCUUCUGUCUGUAGUGUCGAUUGGAAGGAAUCGUGAAGGCUAGUGAGAUGGUCGGCCCCAUAGAGGCCUGGUCCCCACAGAGGCUGGUUCAAGUGACCACACAGAGGCCAGUCUUCAGAAUCAGACUUGGGGCCACACCGCUGUGGCUGCAUGGACCACGACAAGUGGACCUGUGCUCCUGAGCACCCAUGUACUUCGCAACAGGCAGACCCCGCAUCGUCCCCGACCCUGUAGAAGGCCCCCACUCAGUCCCACCCACAGCUGAGACCCUCUCCCGGGUGAUGGAGUGAGGGAAUCUGCCACAUACCUGUCCCUCCGUAGCAUGUUACAGUGAGAAGCCCAUAAAAGCACUGUUCACCGAUUUAUUUCACGGUAUACAUUAAAGAUAAAAGAAUAUGUAUCUUUGUGAUGGGCAAACAAUAUCUGUCUUCCAUCGUUAAAUUUCAUUAGAAAUCAAAAAACUGAAGAAAAAAAUAAAACCUUUCCCCCUUGAUUUGUGAUUUUCAGUGGCUUGUAGACAAUCUGAAUUGCUUUAAUCAUGCCAUCUGAGUUGCUCUUGUCAAAACUUAUUCUUGAUUUGUUUUGUUUAUACAUCCAAGACUACUUUUUCAAAAAGGGAAGAGAUCUUACAGUGAAGGCAGAAUGAACCGAUUGCCUUUCGUAUCCAGGAGCAUGAUUUGGGGAAGGUUUGGACUUGGGCGAGGAGCAGGAGCUGGACCAUGGGUUCCUGCCCCGACGUGGCCAGGCUGGCAGGCCCUGAAGUCCAGGGCCAUCACAGGGGGCUCUCUGUGGAGCGAGUGGCACGUGAGCCGCGAGAUCUGCAGUUGCCAGCUCUGCGUCCCUCCUUCUCCUGCUCUGCUCCUGCUGGCAAGGACUUCAGGGCCCUCUGAGGCCCACAUUGUGCAAGGAUGAGGGGUGGCAGUGCCAGGCGUCAUCUUCCUGCUGGAGUGCAAGUCUCUCCCGGGUCACCUGGCCCCCACCGGGCUCUUCCACACCAGCCCUGUGAGCUUCCUGAUUUUUCCUUGCUUCCCAGUAGGGGAGCCUUUUCCUCCCGUGUGACCGAUGUGGCUUUGCCUCGACCAGGACCAUGACUCUCAGCUUCUAACUGCGGGUGUGGGUGGAUUCUCACUUGUACUUGCCCCUGAUUCUGAGGGCUGUCUGGGCCUCCUGCAACUCCUGACUGGCUCUGACCCACCCCUCCUGGAGGGCUGCUUCCCACCACCCUGCCCACCACCUUCUCUGCCUCCACUGCCUUCUUUGGGGUCCCCACCUCCUAGCCUCUGUCACCUUACACUCUGACUUGGCUUCUCACCCUGGGUCUGCACUGGGCAAAUGCCUUGUCAGGAUGCACUCAGAGAAGAUCUUUCUGGAAGUAGAAGUUGAAAAGUACAGGAUGAAGGUUGAAUUGGUACUACUUCUUAUCAAUAUUUUUAUUUCUUCUAUGACAUAUUUAUCUAUAUCUUUUAUUUACAUUGUUUAUGGAAAAUAAACCUUUAUUUAUUUAUGGAAAAUAAAUACUGAUCAUCAUCUAUUUUUCCUUUGCACAUUAUUAAGUAUUUGUGUUUCAGAAUCACUUUGGAGAGGUUAUGGGGACUGAAUUACUGUAAUUUGUACAUGAUUGGCUGCCUGUCAGAAAGCAAAACAUAGAGGUUAUUUUGUAAUAACAUUCCUAAAUUAUCCAGCACACUUAACAGAUAGUAGAACAAUUUAUUUCUGAGGACUUUUGAAAGCAUUACUCUCUUUUAAAAUUUAUUGUAAGAUUGAACAUAAGAAAUCUUGAAUUAAAAAACUGUUCACAUACAAGACAUACCUAUUUUCAUUUCGUUUUAUGUACUGUGAUUAUUAGCUUGAGACAACCAGGACAUAAAGUUAAAUGGAAUUAUUUUAAUGAUAUCAUCAACAAAGAAAAUUGAAAUUGUUGAAUAAAAGAUGACUAAUUUUAUAUAUGAAGAUUUUUUUUAAGCAAGAGAAAAUAAUAAAUAAGGGAUGUUUUGUUCCUAAGCAAUAUAAUUACAUUUUUUUCCCUGAAGGAUGGUUUUACCUCUUGACAUUUUUUUUCACUUACCAGGUGUUUCCUUUUCUAUAUUGAAUAAUCUACAUUUACACAUUUUAACACAAGCAUGACUACUGUAAUGUGAAGAUUAAAUUAAUUACAAAUGAAUAGCUAUUUGGAAACACAACUUAAUAACUUGGGUGCAGAAAACAAAAGGAAAUAUACAAAUUGUGAGUGGCAAGCUGCAUUUGAUGAUUAUGAAGAAGAGAGAAGAAGCCUUCACUUUUAGAGGAACUAGUCAUUUAUUUAAUACGUGACUGAUAAACACUUUCAUGCUAAUAUUUUCUCAAGUUAAACAUGGAAAAUAAAUACUGAUCAUGAUAUAUUUAAAUAACAAUUUUUAUAAAAACUUGGUACCACUUCCUAUUAAAAUGUUGAUUCAUACUUAUAGUUCAGAUUUGAAAAUCUCCACUUUCCCACUUGGGAAUGAAUCGUUUUGCACCCCAGCCAAAGCCAGAACUCCAGAGCAACACCUAUUAAUUAAAUUCCCAAGCCAGCUGAGUCCACUGCCCACAUCACUGGCAACCAAUAUGGCCCAUACUGAGAUGCUAAACCUCUUCUCUCGGCAUAAAGCACCAAGAGCAAAGCAAGGCCCCCCCUGGGGAAAACACUGCCCUUCUCCUGUGAGCUUUGUUUAAUGUUUUGAACUGACCACUAAAUUUACUUAUUUUUAGUCGACUUGUUUUGAGCAGCUUUAGAUUUAUAGAAUGAUUGAAAGAAGAGUAAGGAAAGCCCCUACUUUUCCAUGUACAAUCUUCUCCAUUAUUAACAUCUUAUAUUAUUAAUCUGGUGCGUAUAUUACAUUUAAGGAACUGGUAUUGAUGUGUCAUUACCUAAGGUCCAUGCUUUGUUCAGAUCCCUGAUUCCUUGGUUUGACCUGGUGUGUGUUCUUUUCCCGGAUCCCGCCUUCGGUAUUCCAUUAUAUUUAGUGUUCAUGUCUCCUUAGGCUUAUCUUGGUUGGGACAGUUUCUCAGUUUUUGAUGAUGCUGAUGGUUUGGAGGAGCACUUACUGAUCAAGUGUUCUUCUGUAUGUUGCUAUCCUGCUGGAAUUGGUCUGGCUCUUUUCCUUGUGGGGAUGAUGAGUUUUCAGAAAGUACAUCCAGGGUAAAGUGGUCGACAUGGUUUGUCCCAGUGGAUGGUCCCCUUUUCCACCUGACUGAGGUAAGGUCUGUCAUAUUUCCACAGUGUGAGUCACUUUCCUUUUCUCCCCCCAUGCUGUGAUCUUUGAAAAGAAGUCACCAUGCCCAAUCCAUAUUUAGGGGACACUUAGAAUAGGGAUUUAUGCUUUUUCUCCAUGAAUGUGGCGUAUCCACAUAAAUUAUUUGAAUUUUUCUACAAGAGAAAUUUGUCCUUUCUCCCCAUUUAUUUACUCAUGCAAUAAGUUACUUAUAUCAAUAUGGACUCAUGAAUGUUUAUAUUUUGUGUUAUAAUCCAGUACUGCUUUAUUCACUCUCUUUCUCAAGUUCUCCCAGCUUUGACCACUGAGAGCUCUUCCUGUUGGCUCCUGGAUGCUUUUGACAUAAAAACCAAUAAAUGUGGAUUUUGGAUUUUUCUUUGUUUUUUAGCACUUUCUUGCUUUCUGGUGCUGUGAGAUGUCCCAUGCUUAUCUUGUAUAUUUUCUGCCCCAGCUAGAAUCAGCUACUGUUCAUAAAACUGAACCUUUUGUUGGAUAAUAGUUUAAAAACAAAAGUCUAGAUAUACUGUGCUCCUUACUAAAAAUUUGUCCUUCUUUUAUGGCCUUUCAGAUGAAGGGGUACAGAAUAGGCAUACAGUAAACUAUGUAUGCGUGCUAUCUGUAGAUAGAGUUUCUGUUCCAGUCCAGGAGCUAUUUCUCUCUGGAGCUUGGUUUCAUUUCUUGGAGAAUGGUGUUAGGAACCAAGUGCUAGGUGCUGGUUGUGCUCAUUGCAGCUGGGAUGCUAUUGCUUCUAGGUUGCCUCAGUGACAGAGCAAGAAAAUAUAUGUGCAUAUACUAACUAGUGGUUUUGUAUAAUUUUAUGUAUGUAACAAUCUGUAUUUAUAGUAAAGUCUCCAUGAGUACAUAUUGUUGUCUACAACUCUGACACUAUGUAGAUUACUGCAGCCUCUUUCCCUUGCACAUCUGUAAAUUCCCAGCCCAGCGUUAAGAAGCCUGGCUCCCAUCAUUUACUCUCUAUUUACUUAUUUGUCCAGUUCCAGUAUACAGGUUACACCAGCACCCCCACGGGAAAUCACUGAACAACUCAGAAGAGUACUUAUGUGCAGUUCUGUCUGCCUUUAGUCAUUUCCAAAGUUACUUAAGCCUGAACCUUCCCCCACUCCUCCUUCAAUGAAGUUAUUUCAUUCACUCGUAGUAGUUAAAUUCUCUUAUUAUUCUGCAUUUCUUUCUGGGAAUCCUCUACCCCACAAAUGAUCUGUUUUAAAAUUUGCAUAUGGUAAGUUACUGUCUUUGUGCUGUAAAGUUUUAUAGCUUUUGACAGAUGCAUAAGCUGUGAAUCUAUCAUUACAAUAUUACACACAAUAGUUUUAUGAUCCUAAAAAAGUCCCCUGUGUUUCACCUAUACUUUCUCCUUUGUUUCUGCAAACUCCUGGGAUCACUGAUAUUUUUCUCUUUUCAGUGUCUCAUGGUUGUAACUUUCCAGAAUGCUGUAUGAUGGGAACUGCAGGGUUUGUAAUGUUUCAAGACUCAGUAUUUUACUUAGAAAUAUUAGUUUGAUGUCCACUCAGGUCUUCUUGUAGUUUUGCAGUGCACUUGUUUUUAUUGCUGGAAGAUUUUCCAUUGUACCACAGCUUUUUCAUUUAUUCAUCUAUAGAAAAAUAUCUUGUUUGCUUCCAGUUUGGGGCUUGUAGGGAGUUUUGUAAAUAAAAGUUUUUAAAUUGGUAAGUAAGUAGGAGUAUAAUUGCUAGAUCAUAUGGUAAAAUUAUGUUUAGUUUUCUAAGAAACUGUAGAAAUGUAUUAUCUUAAAUGUGAAAAAUGUAAAAUUUCAUUCUAAUUUUCUCUUCCUGUGAUUUACUUGGACCUUUCUUUACGGCAUAAUAUUGUACUUUUCAUUAAGAGGUGUGGAAUAACAAUAGACUGACAAAUGGGCUUGGUGGCCUGAUGACAGGUACUAGUGAAAGCCUUACGUUUUACUGGUUUGUCUAAAGGCUUUAAACUAUUUCUUUUCAAGGGUACUGACCAGCUGUGACUUCAGAAAAAUAUCUUCUAACUUUCUCACUUAGAAAAAUGGUGAUGAUAAAAGCCACCUUGCCAAUUUGUUAUGAAGAUUAGGGAUAAAGAAGAUAGCAAAAAAUAAGUGGCAUUAUGAUAUAAAAUGAUAUUUAUUAAUAUUACUAAAGCUUACUGAGCACGUAUCAUACCACACACUGUAGAGGCUACGGCUUAUGAGAAGAUGAGCAAACUGUCAAACAGCUCGUGGGGUAGUGAAGGAGGAAGCAAGCAGAGAUGCAUCAUGAAAAUAUGGCAAUUUGAUAAGAGAAAAAGUCCAAGGAAGACUUAAGUCAGUGGAGCAUUGAGGACUGUGCAUGAGUUCCCCAGGUAGACAAGGUGACAUUGAGAAUAAAGGCAAAAGGAGCAUGAAAAGAACAUUACAACACAGGUUUGGUGUGCUUACAUUUAUCAUGGAGUACAGAGGAAAUAAUGAAAAAUAAACAAUGUGAAGAAAGAUUCUAAAAGGUCCACUUUCCAACCAAAUAAAUUUCCUAUCUUGUUUUUCCUAUAUAAAAAUGUACCUUCAUCCCUUGUUAUUAAUGUAAAUUGGUUCCAGAAACCCUCCCCCACUCCCACCCUGGGUACCCAAAUCCCCAGGAGCUCAAGUCCCUUCUAGAAAUGGUAUCAUAUUUGCAUAAAACCUAGCACGUUCUCUUGUAAACUUUAAAAAAUCUCUGUAUUACUUAUAACACUUAAUGUUAUGUGAAUGCCAUGUAAAUAGCUGUUACACUGUAUCGUUUGGUGGAUAAUGACAAGAAAAAAGUCUGUACACAUUCAGUAUAGAUACGAUUAUUUUCCUAAAAAUUUUAUAUUUGUGAUUAAUUGAGUCUAUAUGUGAAGAACCCACAGACCCAGAGGGCUCAUUGUAUUUGUAUUUGUGAAUUAAGAUAUAGAGUAUAGAAAAGAAUUAUAAAAUACUAGGGACUGAGGGCUGGGGCUGGGGCUCAGGUAGGGUUCAAUUCCCAGCACCAAAUACAAAUAAACAAAAAUAAAAAUAUUAUGUCCAUCUACAACUAAAAAAAAUUUUUUAAAUACUAGGGACUGAGAAUAUUUUUAGGAAUAUAAUGAACAGUAAGAAAAGAUAAGUCUAGACAAAAUCAAACUAAUUUGGAUGUAAAUGAAAUGGAAAGUGCGGUGGAAAUCACACAUAAUUAAAAGCAAUACAUAGAACUUCAUGAUAAAUGUAAACAUGAAGGGAUGGGGGAAGCAAAGAAAUAUCUAAUUUGUCCUCUGGACAAAAGGAAAACAGGUUUAGUAUAAUUUCUAAAAUUUUGAGAUAUGCAUCCAUUUGCAGUCAUAAGAAAAGGAUUCUAUUUGCCAUUUAUUCAGUUUUUUCCCAAUGGUAAUACUUCCAAAGCUAUAGUAAAACAGCAUUAAUUAGGACUUGAAAUGGAUGUAAUCAAGGCACAGAUUACUUCCAUAACCACUAGGACCCUGAGUAUUUUGUAUGAAUUCACACUUACCCUUUGCUACCAUUCUGCCCUCAAUCUCUGAUGACCCCCAGGUUCUUCUUCAUUUUUAUAACUGUGUCAGUCAAAUAUUAUGUAAGAAUAAAAUCAUAGAUUAUCAUACAUUAUGCCCUUUAUAUUUUCUAUUCUGCUGAGUAACAUUCCAUAGUAUGGAUGUACCAUAGCCUAACCACUCAAGGAAGAGAACAUGUAGACUUCUUCUACUAUUUUGCUUUGGCCUAAACUAAAAAGAAAGUUGCUAAGAACUUUCAUGUAUACAAGUUUUUGUGUGAAAUUGAGUCUUCAUCUUGGGAGAUUAAUACCCAGAAGUGUAAUGCCUGAAUUGAAUUGUAGUUGCCAAUGAUAUUUUUAAAGAAAUUGCCCAAUUAUCUUCCAAAGGAGCUGUACUAGAUAAUAUUCCUACCCCAAUAUAGGAGUGAGUCAGUCUCUCCGUAUCUUCACAGGUGUUUUGUGUCAAUAUUUUUAUUUUAGUCAUUUUGAUUGUGUGUGGUGAUAUCACAAGGUGGUUUCAAUUCUCAUUUUUCUAAUGAAUAAUGAUGUUGAAGAUAUUUUCUUUUGAUUGUGUUCUGCAUAUCUUUUUUGUUGAAAUAUGUAUUGAGAUAUGAGAUAUCUUUUAUUAUAAAUACUAGAACUCUAUCAAUUAUGUGGCAAAAUACUUUUCCCAAUGUGAGGUUGAGUUUUUUCAUUCUCUUAACAGGAUCUUUUAUUAAGCAAAAAAUUUUAAAUGCAGGAAAUUCAAUUGAUCAAUUUUUCUUUUUAUGGAUCAUACUUUUGGUGUUAGGUCCAAGAAAAUUAAGAACACUAAACACUGAAUAUUUUCUUCUAUUUUUUCUAAAAAGCCUUAUGGUUUAGCAUUUUAUAUUUGAGUCCACAGCCCAUUUUCAGUUAAUGCAUGAAAUGUGAGAUUUGCAUCAUAAUAUAUUUAUUUAUUUUAUUUGCCUAUGGAUCUUUCAAUCGCUGUUACACCAUUUGUUGAAGUGAAUAUAUUUUUUCAAAUGAGUUGCUCUUACAUAUUUCUUUAAAACCAGAGGGGCAUAUUUGUGUGGUUCCAUUUCUGGGCUCUCUUUUCUGUUUCAUUGAUCUAUGUAUCUAAUCCUCCAUCAAAACCACACAGUCCUAUUGACUGUAGUUUAUAAGUCUUGAAGUUAUGUGGACUGACUUUUGUUAAUUUUUUUCUUAUUUCACAAAAAUUGCCUUUCAAUAUAUUUUUUAAAAUAAUAUUGUCUUUAUUAACAAAAAGUGGAUUUUUUUUUAAUAGAAACUGUCUUCAUCACAUAUAUCAAUUCAGGGAGAAUUGACUUCAAUAUAUGCUGAUUUCCAUUCUAUGAAAAUGGUAUAUCCCAGUUUAUUUAGAGCUUUGAUUUAUUUCAUAAAUAUAAUGUAGUUUUAAGCAUACAUAUAUUCUACUGCAUUGGGCAGAUUUAUCCUUAAUUAUUUCAUCUUUUUGAAUGAAUGUAAAUGUAUUAUUAACUUUGGUGUCCACAUGUGCAUUGCCAGUUUAUAAAAACACAAGUGGUUUUUAUAGGUAUUUUUCAUGCUAAAAUUUUGCUGAACUUUAUAAAGUUCCCUGUAUGUUUCUUAGGGAUUUUUAUGUAGACACUUAUGAAAACUGCAAAUAAGCUCAGUUUUAUUUCCUUUUUCUGCUCUUUAUUUUCCUUUUCAUACUUUAUUGCAUUGGUAAGAAUUUCUAGAAAUUUGUUGAACAAGAAUGGUGAGAAUGGAUAACCUUGCCUUGGUCCUAUCCUUAGGAGAGAAUAUCCCAUUAUGCACCACUGACUGUAAUGGUAGUUUUUGUAUAGAUGACUCCUAUUAGAUUGAAGAAGUUAGUCUCUAUUCCUAGCUUUUGAGUGUUUUUAUUAUAAAUGGGCAUUGACUUUAUUCUAAAUGAUAUUCCACAUUUAUAGAUAGGGUCACUAUUUUCAUUUUUUGUUGGCUAAUAUGGUAGAUUGUAUAGAUUAAUUUUCAAAGAUUCACUUAUUUUCAAGGGAAAACUGAAGAUGUAUAUUCACGUAAUACAAUCUUUAAGAUUUGUCCUUUAUAAGUAUUUUUAAUUUGAUAAACCAUAUUAUUAUGAGGUACAAAUGGUCAAGUAUUUUACAUUCAUAAUUAUCUUAAACCCACAGAAAGUAAUUCACAAAUAAUUGAAAUCUGGUUAUGGUUGGUAUAAAUCUUAUUUCCCCUAAAAAUAUUUGUAGGUUUCCCCCAAACUGUAGUGUAUUUCUAAAUAAAAUUGUAAUAUUACAGUAAUAUAUUUUAAAGAAUUUGAAUGUUUCCCCAACUAAAGUAUUUUUCAUAUUAUUAUCCAGACAAUAUAAAUUUCUCAAAAUAAAAACAAUAAUGGAGUAUUUCCUUUUUUCUGUUUUUUUUUUUUUGGGGGGGGGGCAUACCAGAGAUUGAACCAAGGGGCUCUCAACCACUGAGCCACAUCCCUAUCCCUAUUUUGUAUUUUAUUUAGAGACAGGAUCUUCCUGAGUUGCUUAGCACCUCAUGUUUGCUGGAGCUCACUUUGAACUUGGUGGUCCUCCUGCCUCAGCCUACAGAGCCGCUGGGAUUAGAGGCCUGCACCACCUCACCCACUGGCAUAUUUCCUUUAGUGGAUUUAAUUAAUCUUUCUCCCUUUUAAAUGAUGAUUGGAUCAUCACAUAUGUUAUAAAACCCUAAUUUGAAAUCAUAACUUUUUUGAUAUGAGAAUAAUAAAUACUAACAUUAAAGCUUUGUUAUUUUCUUUGACCUACUCAGAUUUGAAGAUAAUUGACAAUAAAAAGUUCUAACUACUUAUUUUUUUACAUCUACUUUUAAAAGAGUAGUUGAUUUAGUUUUUCAGGAAACCAGACCACCUCCUGGCAACAGCUUUGUCUAAAUAGGCCUAGAACAUGUUGUGGUACUACAUUUCUAGGGGUAUAAACUUACCUUCUAACUUCUCUUCUCUUGCCUAUGUACAAGAAUGAGAUGAGCUAAUCUGUACAUAUCUGCUUAUUCCUUACGUGGUUUUCUGGUGUCAAGUGAAUCAGUAGAUGUCAAGGGGUUCUUGGGGGCUUGGUAGAGCAUGAGGAACUUGGAACUAAACCUAGGUGUUCUCCUUCCUGAGCAAGGUGAACCGUGGCUGGUCAGUGCACAGGUCAGGAGGAAGGACGCCCAAAGGAGACAAAGGGACAGUGUGCACAGCCACCUGCCCCACCCUCCAAAGGAAAAGAGGAGCAAUGAUAAGAAUAUGGUCUUGUGUUCAACUUCACAAUCUAAGAGCUUGCUUUUUAAAUGUCAAUGUAUGAAACUGUGGUGUCCUCUUGUUAUUGAUUAUAUUGUAAGCUUCCAAAGAAAAAUGGGUUGGAGUGUUCAAACCAAGUACUUCAGAACGUCACCUGUCACCUUAUUUGGAAAAAGUGUCAUUGCAGAUGUCAUCAGUUUAAGAUGAGGCUGUUCUGAAGUAGGGUGGGCCUUUAAUCCCAUGACCAGAGUCCUUCUAGAAAGACAGCCUUGUGACGACAGGGAGAAACAGUAUGUGCUGAUGAAAGAGAAACUGAAGUGAACUCUGAGGACUCCUAGCAAACAAAGAAGAGCUAGGAGUUAGCACAGAAAGAUCCCCCAGGGGUCAGAGAGACCCUCAUCCUGCGACAGUUUGGCAUUGGAUUCCCAGCGUCCAGAAGUAUCUGACAAUAAAUUUGUGUUGCUUUAGGCCACUCAGUUUGUGGUAUUUUCUUAUGGCAGCCUGCGCAAACUAAUACAAGGGUGCAUUGUCAAUUAAAGGUGAGACAUUGGAGCCUUAAGGGAAGGCAUAAUCUGGCUCUGAUUCCUUAUUUGUAAAUUAAGGGCAACAGCAUGCUCCAGUUGCUGUUUCUUCUCAUAUAUUUUGGCAGAAUUGGUGAGGCAACGUAGGUGCCAGAAAAAAUAAAACACACUGUAAAAACUCACAUCUGUUGAAUGCAGUGUUUCAGCGGUACGGAUCUCAUAAUAAGUUACUCAGUGAAUAAAAAUGAGUACCAGUACCUUUACAUUUAAAAAUAAAGAAAUCAACAUUUUAUUAAUCUUCUUAUUUGAAAUUGUUCCAAUAUAAAAGAAGAAAAUUACCUAUCACCUGAGAAAGCAAAGAAAAUAAAGUUGUUGACUGCAUGCAUACAUAUUUGAUAUUAAAUUAUCUUGAAAUUCAUUUUUCCUCAGGCGAAUUUAUAGAUUAAUUUUGCAGGACAAUAGAAUUGAGAGAACCCUGGAAAGUUUGCAAUGUGUAUCUUCCAUGCAAAAUAUGCUUGAAAAUAUCACUGACCUUGUGACUGUAUUCAUGAAGAGCAACAGAAGAACAUAUGAAGGUGCAAUACAUAUGCUGCAUGUGGGUGGUGUGUGCAUGCGCCAUAUUGGUUCUCUUUUGUGACCAAGAUGAAUCAUAAGCACUUGGUGAAUACAUUUAAGACACAUUCAUUAUAUUUGCAUUUCUGUGGGUCAGAACUCUAGGCUAGUUGUUCUGCUUCCAGUCUCAUAGGAUUUAAAUCAAGGUGUCGGAGGUCUAUACUGACUUUUCAUGGGUUUGAGACAAAACUUUCUUGCAAGAUCCUUUUCCACGUUGUAGGGUACAUUCAGUUCCUUGAAGUUGAAAGGCCAAGGUUACCACUUCCUUGCUUUCUGUCUGUCUGAGGCUGGAGUUUGCUCUUUUUUUUUUUUUUCUGGAUACCGGGGAUUGAAUUUAGAGGCACUCAACCACUGAGCCAUAUCCCAGCUUUAUUUUGUAUUUUAUUUAGAGACAAAGUCUCACUGAAUUUGCUUAGUGCCUCACUUUUGCUGAGGUUGGCUUUGAACUCUUGAUCCUCCUGCUUCGGCCUCCCAAGCUGUGGGGAUUACAGGUGUGUACCCCUGAGCUCAGCUUGCCUAUGCUUUCCUAUGCAUGUGCCCCCCACCCCCGACAAAGAAUUUAAACCCUCCUAUGCUUUGAAUCUCCCUCAUGUCCCCUACUUCAACUAUCUUAGUUGGGUUAAGCAGCUUUCCUGCCACUGAACAAAAGACCUGACAAGAAGAAUUUUAGAGGAAGAAAAAUUUGGCACUUACAGUUUAGAGGUCUCAGUCCAUAGAUGGCCAACUGCAUUGCAGUGUGCCUGAGGUGAGGGAGACCAUCAUGGUAGAAGGGUGUGGAGGAGGAAAACAGCUCAGGACAUGGCAAUCAGGCAAGAGAGAGAGACAGAUAGACAGACACACUAAGAUGGGGUCACCAGGGACAAACUAUAUACCCAAAGCCACAUCCCUUUGAGAUGGAAUGAGGAAUGUCCUCCAACCACACCCUGGAUUAACACAGUGAUUAGGUUAAAGCUCUCCUAACCCAAUCAUUUCACCUCUGAACUUCCCUGCAUUAUCUUACACAUGAGCCUUUGAGGGGUACCUCAUACCUAUACCGUAACAAUUUUUCUCCUACCAGAAGUUCUUUGUUUUAAAAGGUUUAUAUUUUUAGAUUGGAUCUUCUUAGAUUGUCCAGAUUAAUCUCCCUGCCUUAAAGUCCAUAAUCUGAAUUAUACCUUCAAAGCCUCUUUAUCUUAUAGUGUGACAUAUUCACAGGUUCCUUGGAUUGAGACGUGGACACCAUUGGGUGGAUUUUCCAUUCAUACUAAAUGUGGAAUGAUUCUAGUUCCAUAUUUUUUCUCCUUUUUCAUGAAAAAGGAAAACAAAGCAAAAAAAAAGUAAUCAGUGACUUUUCUUUCAUGAAUUACUCUAUUUUUUUUUAAUUUAUAAAGCAGGAUAACAAUAAAGAUAAAACUAAUUACAAAUAGGAUGCUAUUCAUAAAAAAAUCAAAAUAUUAAGAUGACCUGCAAAGUAUUGUGAUCAAAUAGCCCUGGUAGGAAAUUUUGAAGUCCCAGUACUUUUAAUCUAUUUGAACUGAUUUCCAAAAGAUGCUGUUGCCCCAAGCCAGCAAAAAGGCUCUCAGCCACACUUCCUGAGGUUUUAUUGGCUAAGAAAUUACAUGUAAGAGUAAGUUUAAAAAGCCACCAUAAACUUUAGUGGUUUUUCAUGACUUUGGAAACUCAAGUUCUAUCAUUAUUUAGAAAUACCAUUCCCAUUGCAAACUGCAUGUAGUGAAGUCGAAACUAGCAAAUAACAAGGCACCUGAGGAAAGCAUGCUUCAGACAGAACGACAGAGUUUUAAAUGAAGAUGAUAUUUAAUUGUAAAGGCAAUGCAUGAUUCAGGUGAAUCAAGUAGUUAAUAUUUGACACAAAAUAAAUAAACUUCAGCCAUCACCCAUAAUAAGGUUAUGAGACUAAAAAUGUGGUCUUACCAUCUUUUGUGCACUAAGUUGAUUAUGUAGGUAUUUUAAGUGUACAUCAUUUGGAUGAGAAGUGAAAUAUUUAGAGGUUUAUUUUCUUAUCUCUCCAACAUAGAGUCUCCUAAGUCACUUGGUCCAACUCAAGUUUUAUCAGUAGACAAGGUAGACACGGUAGCCUGAAGCAGCAUGCCAUUUUCCCUAUGGUGACCGUGGUGACAGGUUUGGCCUUAACUUUCCUGUCUUCCCGUCUUUCCCGUCUCUUUGACUGAACGUUAGUUUCUUCCUGACCACAGAUCUUGUUCUUCCUUUCUUGGAGCAUUUAUUUUAGAACACUUGAAAUUGUGUAUAUUCUCUCUGUGCCUCUUUGAAAUGUCUUUCUAAAAGCUUAUUAUUGGUUUUCCAACUUAGGCAUGUCUUUCUCCAGGACCUGGGAGUCAUUUUGUGGGAGCGUAACCAUCAAGGAAGACAGAGCCUGUAAUAGUUUGGAUGUUAAGUGUCUCUGCAAAGACCCGUGUGUCAAAGGCUUGCUCCUCAGCUUGGUGCUGUUGGGAAUUGAGGGAAUCUUUAAGAGGUGAACCUGGAGGAGGUCUUCAAAUUGUUGGAAGCAUUUCUUCAAAGCAGCCUGUGGGACCCCGUCUCCUCUUCUUUCUUUCUCAUGCCAGCCGUGGGGCAGGCAGUUGGCUCCACAAGGACUUCCUACCAUGACAAGCUGCUCUGCCACAGGCCCCAAAACAAUGGAGCCCACCUACCAUGGGCUGAACCGUCAAAAGCUAUAGACAAGAGUAAACCUUUUGUCCUCUAAAGGUUGAUUAUCUUGGGCUGUUUAUUAUAGAGGCGGAAGCUAACUCACUCAGGGCCCAUCUUCUUUUCCCAAUGGACAGCAGAAGCCUAACUCUGACAGGAAGUAACUAGCAAACACCGGUGGCCCAACCGCAGGCCCAACCUUCUCCCUAAUGUCUUCAAGCUGCUUUCUUACCAGCUUACUCAGCAUUUAAAAACUUUCCACCUGUUCUUCCAGUGGAGUCCAGUUCAGUCUGUUUCCCUCAAGGCGGUAGUCCUGAAGUCCUCCUCUCCUGUUGAACUGGGUGUCACAAUUUUUCUUUAACAAUUGGAAAGAAGAUCCUUAGGUUGGAGUUCCACCGGAACAAGAAAUAUGAAGUUGAAGGGGGUAUACUACAUCCCGAAGAAUCCAUGGUGUUAGAGGUCAAGCUCAGGUGCUGGCGAGAAACAGAGGUUCAAGUCCUUAUGUGAACCAGUGAAAAUCUCUGUCUUCAGAAGUUUUUGAAAGAACAGAGUAAAAAGAUGAACCGUUUUGUGGUUAAACCAAUUAGUGCUUAAGCAGUGUAAUAAACAAAGAUUCUUGUCGGAAGGCAGCCUUUUUAAGGCUCAAGAAAAUUUAAAACUAUUUCUUUUGCUAAUGGACUUUUUUCCCUUAACUUUUCCAAUUCCUCAGAUAGCCCUGGGCCCUCGUGUUACUAAGAUACAGUUACAGAAGGAGGAGAAAAAAACCUGACUUUUGAAAAAGGUUAGCUCAACACUACAGGGAGUCUAAUUUCUGGUUUCAUUAUAGAAUUAAAUGAGAUUGAAAUUGUUAUCUCUCUCUUUUCCUCCACGUAGAAAGAGCGAGCUGAGCUAAGGCGGAAUGGCUGUUCUUUCCUGGGUAUUUGCUGCCUUUCCUCUGCCCGCAGGGCAAAGGUCUGGGCAUUAGUAUUCUGAUGGGAAUCUGCAUGACAUUGCUGGGAAUGGACAAAUGCUCCACAAGUCCCCACACAUCCCCUACCACUCUGAUUAAAGCUUGGCAUUUGUUUUCCUGCUCUUUGGAGCAGACAGCAUGCUGCCUGGAAUUAGAAAUAUGAAAGACAGAGGAACUUCACACUGUGCAGAGAAUGUUCUUUGCUCUCUUAUUUUCAUAAGGCAGAUGAGUUGCCUAAGGAUCUUUAUAAAAUCUUGGACCUCUCAAAUAUGAGUGGAGAUCUGUUCAGUAUAAUCUGUUCAUAGCUCCCUCCCCACGCUCCUGAAGCCUUUGUGUGGCUAUCCUUUAUUAGCUAGAUUUUAAUAGAGGAAAAUUUCAAUUGUCUAGAGUAUUGAUGAAGGGAUUUGGUUAGUUUCAUACAGUUGAAGUGUCACUCAUCUGUAAGGUCUGGGGCUGCUCUGUGUUUUGAGAUGAUUUGCUAUUGAUUAAAGACAAUAUAAAAAAAAGUCAUUUUUCCAAAGAUGGAAAAGGGAGGGUGACUAUGUGGCAUGAUGGAUGUGUUGCUAUGUUCCCCUCUAACAAUCUCUUUACCAACGUAUGUGUGCAUCUUGUGCACAUCACGUUGUUAAACAAGAACUCCAAAGACCACAGGAUCUCCAAACACUUACAGAUAGAAACCAGAAAAAAAAAAAAAAAGACCAGAUCCUGAAGCAGUUCCCACAACUACCAGCAGCAGGGCGAGGUUGCAGUCAGGAGGUAUCCCUCACAUCAAAGCUAAGAGCAUGCAUACACACACACACACACACACACACACAUGAACACUGUGUGUAUAUAUAUAUAUACACACAUACAUAUUUUUUAGAUUUUACUUUUUGCAGUGCUGGAAAUCCCCCUCCUGCAUGCUAUGCAAGGGCUUUACCACUGAGCUACACUGCAGCCCUUUUAAAAAUAAACUUUAACCAGGGGCAGUGGUGCACACCUGUGAUCCCAGCAGCUCUGGAGGCUGAGACAGGAGGAUCCUAAGUUCAAAGUCAGACUCAGAAUUUAGUGAGGUGCUAAGGAACUCAGUGAGACCCGUCUCUAAAUAAAAUACAAAUAGGGCUGGGGAUGUGGCUCAGUGGACAAGCGUCCUUGAGUUAAAUCCCUGGUACCAAAAAAAAAAAAAAAAAAAAAAAACUUUGCAGGAGAAAAGCACUCACUUGGGCUUCAGGUGAGAGAGGUGGGGUAACAUGGAGGGGAGCUUUGCCACAGGGGCAGUCCUUAAGGAGAAAUGGCUUUGGUUCUUUGGGGUUCACAGUCCCAAGGGAAAGCUCAGAUGCCUGGUGUUCGGCUGUGAGGAGACUGGAGCCCGGGUUCGACCCAGAUGUCCUGGCUGGCUUUGUGUGUGGCUGUUCACUGACCAACUCCAUUGGUCUCUUUCCCUCUCCAUCCACUGGCCUUUGUUACAUUUUCAGCAUUUCCCAGGAUUGCGUUUUUCCUUUGAUCACCUUUAGUACGAUUUAUUUGAAAGAUCUUUUUAUGUAAUGUGUGUAUGUACAAGUAGUCAGCCCUUUAUUGCAAGGGUCUCUGGAGUGGGCUACCGACACUGAUUGUGCUUUGUGUUAGUUUGGUUUUUACCUGUAAUAUCUGAAGAAUUUGAUGGAAUCUAUUUGCAUGAAAAUUUAGGGUGAGACGAUUGAAGUCUGAGUGUUACUUGAAAAUUCCCCCCAAUUCAUCAUGCUUGCACUCAUGAUGACAUUUUUCACAUAAACAGUAUCAUUGACCUGGUAAGGUAAUUUGAUCAUUGGUUGAUGCUCAAAAUAAAAUAACCUUUGCUUGCCUUGUGACAAAUACAUCUGCUGCCGGUGGGGGAGACAGAGGUGACUGUUGGCUUCCCAGCUCAGCUGCCCAUGCUGCUGACCAGCAGGCUCCUGUAGCCGCCUUCGGGGUUGUGUUCUGAAAUGCCAACUUAAACAGGCUUAUUGGAAUGCAAGUGAGCAAGGUAGCCUAUUUUAGAGAGAGUCUGAUUUACUGAAAUCUACAUAAGUGACACAGCACUCAGCUAUGCUUUCCUGAGUACAGAUUCCUUCUAACACCCCCUGAUGGGCAAAUCUGCAAGGGACACCUGGUGCUCCUUCAUGGCCAUUGUCUCCAUGUUGAGGUGACUGUGGCACUGUUUCCUAGGGACCCUUCUGGGUGCUCUCACAUCGCUCUGGCACCCACUAUACUUUUUCUUUCCUGAUUUGGCUGCUCUGAUACUGGAGCCUCCUGGCCACACACAACUGUGCUCUGUCUCAGACAUUUCUGGUACUUUCUGUGUUAUGCAUCUGUUUAUUUCCUGCUGUCUCUAUUAUCAAAGCCCUGGGAGGAGAAAUGCCUUUCAGCCUCUGGAUGGCAGCACCGUGGUUGUGGCCUACUGGAAGGCUAUCCAUCAGGAAAUCAAGUGAACCAUUCUAGUCAUUGGUUUUCCCCUCCCCCAUUCACCUUUCAACUCAGCCCCCGAAGUGCCAAGAUCAAAGCUCGGCCUCCCAGGGUUAAAAUCUGGUCUGGCACAUGAGUGACUUGAUUCUUACUUGCCUUACAUAGGAAGGAUAAGAUUGCUAUUUAUUGAAUUCAUUACCAUACAUAGUAAAGCCAAUCUAAUCAUCUAAUUUCCUAUGUACAGAAUCUAAAUUGUUGCUGAAUUCUGUUUUGACUUUUAUUUUUAAAAGGCACUGAUCUAUUUUAUUACGUUCUUCUGCAGACUGACCCAGCAUAAGUUCAUCACUUGCGAUGAUUUUAUAAAGUUACUAGUUGUACCAUCCAGGAUUCCACAACCUGGAACCUUUAAAGAGUCCAUAGCUGGGCUUCAGGUGGACCGCAACCUUUGGAAAUUACAUGCAAAGCAUUGAUCACAUACUCAGAUGCACCUCUUCCUAGAGAUGAGUCCACGCACUUCUGAUGGAUCAGUGACUACAAAAUCAGGAGCCGCUGUGAUGCCUGAGGCAUACAGAGAAAAACCGGCUGGACUAGGAAGACUCUCCACGCAGGCCAGGUAGAUGAACUGAGGGGAGGGGGCGACCCUUCCACCUCCAGCACCCACUGGGACCAACGCGGGGUCUGGGGGAGGCUCCCAUUACAGCGCAGCUCCUUCUCCAAUCACCGCAAAGACGCUCUGCAGAGUGUACCAAGCCCACAAACAGGUCAAGUGCAUCUCCAGAGGGAGGGGGAGAAGGAACAAUGACAAAACUAGCAGCAAUGAAGUGGAAGUCCUAACAAAUGGUGAAGUCGAGGUGGUCCUUGAGGCAUGGGUCAGUUUAGCAGUGGGAUUAAAGCAGGACACUUCAGGCCACAGUGACGUUGGGUUGGUGACCUGGACUGCACAGUGCCCCCCCAUCGUGGGUUGAGGCCCUACCUCUAGUGCGACUGUAUUUGGAGAUAUGGCCUGUAGGAGGUAAUUAAAAUGAAAAGACUGGCAAGGGUGAGGCCCUAAUCCCAUAGGGUUAGUGUACUUUUUAAAAAAGGUAAUGGAGAGUGCUUGUGAGUCUCUCCCUCUAAACCCACCCUGCCGGACCACAGUUUUAGGCUUCCCAGCUAUCAGACUCUGAGAAAAGUGGAUUUUUCCUGUUAGGACCUCCCAGUCUGUGAGCAUUUGUAGAUCAGCUUGAGCAGACCCCUGCAGCAGGUUUCUCAAGGACGCUCACAUUCAUGCAAGGUCAUGACUAAGGGGGUCACUGACCAGGUACCACCCAGAGGCAAGCAGGAUGUUUUCCAAGCAGUAAAGAACCCUGAUUUUGUUCCAGGGAUUUCUAAGGUUUAUUUCAAUCAAUAUGUGUUAGCAGUCAAAAAAUCACUGUAACCAUGAGUAAUCCAGUACCAUAAGUCUCCAGGAAAACUAGAUUCAGAGUCCCAAAGGCUACAGAUAUUAAAGGAGAGGAAAUACAUCAUCUGCAUAUGAAAUAUUAAAAUAAUUACAGCAUAGAACAAGCAAGAAAAAGGGUCACCCAAGAUGACCAGGUAGAUUGGAAAACAAUCAAAAGGAACCAUAAAAUAUAAAAAGUAAUAAUUUUCAGAAAAAUAAUGAAAGUAAAAGAUAGAUUCAGAGUAUCAGUCAACAUUUCUGAAGGAAUCAGGGUAAAUGACAGGGUGGCAAUGAGGUGACAUCUGGAAGAGUAGCUGGGAGGGAAGAUGAAGUCCUGAGAAGACCUCGCUUACCUUUAAUGAGCUUUCCUGAGAGAAGAGAAUUAGAGGGAAGGGAGUUCGGGGCAUGGGGUGAGAAUCAUUGCACUAGAGACACUCCAGAAUCCACAGGUGUGACAAGCAGGAGAUAAAACACACAAGAAGAAGAGAAAAGGAGGAAAACCUGGAAAUAUUGUCAUGAGACUGCAGACUGUCAAAUAUGAAGACCUUAAUAGCAUUGAUAAGAAAAGGAUGAAUCUCAUACAAAGAAACAAAAUUUUCCUCCAAUGAUUCUCUAGAAUAGUAACGACAGACCAAAACCCAACAGCUGAGAGACAUAAGCCAAUUUUACAAAUAUUUAUAUGCUACUCUACUUGAAAGCCUGCUCAAGAUGGACAAAUCCAGAACAAUGUGAAAGUACACAUGGUCCCAUAACCUUUGAAUAGGCUGAAUCAGUAGAUUAAAAUGUUCUUACAAAGGAAGCCCGCAUCUCAGAAGGUUUUUCAAGAAAUUAGUACUCAACAUUCAAAAAUCAGAUUAUUCCAGGUUUAGAAAAAUUCUGUUGGAAAUAAUGAGAUCUCCAAUUCAUUCUCUGAUACUAAAUGUUAUGCCCUCAAUUACAAACCCUGAAAAGAACAUAUGAGAAUAAAUACUAGCAGUCAAUCUGACCUAUGAGCCUAGAAGAAAACUUCUUAACUCAAAUGACAGCAAGUCCAAUCUAGCAGUACAUAAAAAAGAGUGAAUUAGUAUCAAGUACCAAGUUGCGUUCUUCCCAGUGGUUGACUAUUCGAUACCAUUGAAACAUUUUACUUAAGAGAUGAAAGACAAGCCUAGGGGAGGUAAUGAGGGAGAGAACACACUAUUUCAUGAUGAAAACCCUCAAUGUGACGGGAUGGGAUGGAGGAUUAACCAAAAAGAGUGAUUACCAAAAAACUAUCAGCAAAAACAAUUCUUGAUGAUAACAUAUUAGAGACAUGGUUUAAAGUUGUAAGAAAAUGAUGCCCAUUAUCAGAGUUUAUAGUCAACACUUUGGUCACUGAAGAAGAUCAGAAGGGAAAGAUAAAGUGGGGAAUUGUUAUAAUAGAGGAAAAUUGUCAUUUAUUUGCAUAUGUUAUGAUUGUCAAUCUAAAAAAUGCAAGAAAAUAUCAAUGUGAAUUACUGAAAUUAAUAAGAAACUAAAGCAGUAUUUUUCCCACUUCAUGAUGCUUUUAAUCAUCGUUAGUGAUUCUGACUAUCAAUUUGUUGGAUAUUUAGGAUGGUCACUCUUGCUUUCAUUUCUGUUCACUUCCAGAUGUCUAUUUGCUCACCCACUAUUCAAUCUUUCAUUUUGGAAUUUCUUUUUACAUGUAUUUCUGCAAAAAGCUGUUUGAUUUUUCUUUAAGCUGGUCUUUGAGUGGAAUUCAUCCUGUGCUCACGGAAUGUAUAAUGUCCAACACACUUGAUUUCAUUCUUUCCUUCUUGCUUUAUGCUUAUUGCUAUGCUACAUUAAGCACCACAGUUUCUCUUUCCUUUUUAAAAGAUUUUUUUCUGUUCAAAUCGCAUUGCUCUUUUGACUCAUUUUGCUUUGCCCUUCUGCUGUUUUGGUGGCUAAACGUACGUCCAGAUUUCUCCAAACACUCCCUUUGGUCUGAGGUGGUCAUUAAUACCCUGCCCUUCACCCUCAGAGAAUCUUGCUUGGAGGAGAUGCUAUCAGCAGUGGCUCUCACGCUCCCUGGUCCCUAAGUGGCAGCAGUCUCCACACUUGUCCCCCAGCUUAGAGGGAGAUUCCUUUUUAGUAAGAUAAUUUCCUCACUCCUCUCCCAUUUCAGUGAAAGCACUGAAAUACUUUCACUUCUUCCCUUUCCUUCAGUAGAUUAAAAUGUUCUUACAAAGGAAGCCCACAUCUCAGAAGGUUUUCAAGAAAUUACUACUUAACAUUCAAAAAUCAGAUUAUUUCAGGUUUAGAAAAAUUUAGAAAAAAACCGAAUGUCUUGCUUUGAUGUUUUAGUUCAUUUAAUUCCAAAAUAUUGUAAGAAUGUGAAAACAGUGUGCACAUGCACAUAAAUGUGUGUGUGUGUGUAUUCAUUUCAGGAACCCUUAUUUAGCAUUUAUAUUAACUCCCUGGCAGAGCAUCAUCCUCCCUUUUGAUAUAACCCAGGAUGGACAGCUCACUGUUUUCUCUAGGUGAUGUCAGUUUUCCAUUCUGAUCUUUUGAUAUUUGAAUAGAGCCUUUCUCAGUUUUUUUCUGGGUGGAAGUUUUGUGGGUAACAGAGGCUCCCAUCCUUCCUACUCCAACAGAGACUUCACCCUGUAGGAAGCAGGUUAUCAUAAAUCGAGGAAUGUGGGUACAGCCCGUGGUGGUCUCUGCAUGUUCAUCUGCUGUCUUCCGGCAGGAACUCUUCCCUCCAGAUCUGCUCAUUCUUCCAUUUGCCUUUCCCUCUCUGUGACAGCAGAGCACCCUGGGGUAGGUGAUUUCUCUCUUCAGCCCUCUGAGAUCCAGCUGCUGGGUUACUAAACAGUGAAAGUGCAUGGGGGGAGUGCAGCAGUUGCUGGUGUGGGGGUCCCUGCUGGGGCACCAGAAGUCUACUUCUCUGCAGCCCUGGGGGGAAAGCAUCCUGUCCCUCCACACACUCCCUCCUCCACCCAGCGAGGGCCAGGAGCAGAACCCACCAGUUCACUCUCUUCAUCUUUUUUAGGCAUAAAUGAAUACCUGUUGUGAGUUCUGCUCAGAGAACUAUCACCUCCUUGGAGACAAAUUUCUAGCACUGUCCCCUCUCCACUAAGAUAUAAUUUAGGAGGAGGAAAGGAUUUUUGCCUGUUCUGUUCCUGGCAUUAUUGCUAGUGUUUAGAUGAGUGCCGGCCAUGAGUUACUGCAUGAAUGGCUGUACUUUGGAAGUGACAUUAAAUAGUAAGUUAGCAUGAGUUUGGAAAGUGAUUGCAAAUAGCAACUUUCCAAGUAUUGCAUGCUCUUUAUUGCAACAAGAAAAUAUUUUCUGCUUUAAAAAGGCAUGUAAAAAACUUAUUUGACUGACUGAGAAUAGUAGUUAGGAGUACCAGUUUGUGCAGUGUGUCACCUUUAUUUUUUUUCCAUUGAAAGAGGACAUAUAAAACAUUAAGCAUAUACUGAACAUUGUAAGAGGGCUUAAACUUGUAAAGAUGGAUUUUACUUAGGGGCAUGGUGAUCCCCUCUGAUGGGCAGUGCACCUGUAGAGAAGAGUGUCUGAGGUAGGAACUUAGCUGGGAGGGUGGCCCUUUCCUGUGAGGGGUCAGCUUGCAGGAAGUCAGCCAUCCAGACCUGAGGAGGCAGGACAGAGGGUAGCCAUCAUCUGCAUGUGAGGCUGGUAGAGGACUAGGUGAGAAGAGAACGUGCUGGGAAAGUGAGUCACAUGCAGUGACAUUAGACAGCGCGGUGAGGACUUGGAGCGCUGCCUGUGCUCAAAGGCUUUCUCCCUCUUAUUAUCUAAUUUAGAACGGGAAAUGAAAGGCAGUCCUUACCCUCUACUACCCUAGGCUUCUCAUUUAUGCUAACGCCACCCCUUGUGUCCUGAAAAAAAUACUAUAAAAGCAGACCCUUAAAGGGAGGAAGGAAGAAUAGUCUCCAACUAUGUGGGACAAGACAUCCCUGAAAUGAAAGAAAUGAAGUGUGGGGAAUUAACUGGCCCAACAUGAUGGUGCAAUUCAUUUCUCUCUUGGGCUUCACCGUCUCCUUGGUCUUAUUUUCAGGGCAUCUGGAUACACUACAGGUGCAUCCCAAUGGGAAAAGAGCAUUUUCCCUCCAUACGGGAGGUUUGGGUGGGAGACAAUAAUAACCUUGAAGCCACAGGACCCCACGAGAUUGACGUUUUUUGGUAUUUGAAUAGAGCCUUUCUCAGUUUUUUUUUCUGGGUGGAAGUUUUGUGGGUAACAGAGGCUCCCAUCCUUCCUACUCCAACAGAGACUUCACCCUGUCCAUCCAUCAAGUAAUGUAGCCAUGUCCAUCCAUCAGGCAAUGCAGCCAUUCCUAGUUCAUCCCUUAUCUGUAACCUGAAUUCUAUUACCAUUGAGCUUUUAGUCAAGUCACGGAGAACAUUAAAACCCAAUCUCAGCUGUGCUCUAGCAGUUAGUAAGAAAUGUGGGGAGAAAUACCAUUCUCCUCUAGACUCUUACUCUCAGUAUUACUUACUGGGUUCUUCUCAUGUCCCUGACUGUAAACAUUGGGCGUCCCCGGGGUCUAGACCAGGGACCUUUACUGCGCACUCUCCCUUUCUUGGCAGUCUCACACUUUCCAUAAAGGGUAGGGCCUGCCUGUAGAUCACAACAAAAUAUCAGAAUCCAGCUCUAGUUCUUGCUUGCUUGCGAGUUAAUUAUCCCAUCUAUUGGGAGAUUCCACGGUUCCACCUUCAAACCUCAAUCCCUGUCCUCUCCACCUUCGCUGUUACCACCUCGGCUUCAUGUCACCCUCUUUGCUUGUUUGAUGAGCCCAGCAGUUUCUCUGCGUUGCCUUUGCUCCCUUUAUAUUCUCAACACAGAAGCCACAAUGAUCCCCUGAAGGUAGAACCAGUAAAAUUCACUGCUCUGACGAAAGCCCUCCAAUGGCUCUCCAUUUCCUCUAGACCAAAGCCCAGCCUUCCACGCCGACAGCCCUGUGCGAUCUGGACUCCAGCUGUCUCUGGCUUCACCUUUCUCUCCGCAUCCCCAGCUCAUUAGUAAUUUGAGUACCAGGUUCACUGACCUUCUCCUUGGUCUUAUUUUCAGGGCAUCUGGAUACACUACAGGUGUAUCCCAAUGGGAAAAGAGAUACACCUGUAGUGUAUCUCUUGAAUUAAUUACCUGUUUGCUUCAAACUCCGGGCCUUGGACAUGUUUUCCAUUUAGAUCCCAAAAUAUUUAUAUUUCUAACUUCCUCAGGGUUUUCCUCAGAUCUCCUGUCUCUGGUCCCCUGUUCACCUUCUCUGAAGUUGCAGUUUACCUUAAUCCCAGCUCUUCCUACCACACCUCCUUCCUCUGAUUUUUUCUCUGUAUGACUUGUCACUCAGUUGCUUGUCUGUCAGCUCCCCACCCUGCCCCUGUACCCCUUCCCACAGUAUGAAAUGAUGGGUGCCUUUCCAUUUCCUUCUCUGCUGUAGCCCCGGUGCUUGUCAAGGUGGAUGCAACAUAGUAAGAAUCUUAUUCACCAUGACCCAUGGAGUGAACAAAUGACUGAAUCUCCUCUGAGACCAUGGUGUUGGCGGUGGUAGAUGUGCAGUGGGAAAUGCGUUCUGAAGUGGAAGAUUAAUAUUCACAAGUAAGGUUAAUAAUCUAAGUCAAAUGACAAGAAAAUAGCAAGGGCAGAGUCAUGAAAUGUAUGUAUGUCAUGUGACAAAUCCCUAGGGACCGCAAAGAUGCCAGAGUUAGAAGAAUCUUCAAAAGAGGGCUCAAGGUCCUGCAAGCACAGCUGGUACUCAUAGUGAGAUUUAGUUUUGCAUAUUCAUGUGACACUCAUUGAACAUGUAAAAUGAUGAAAAUGGUGGUCACUUAGUGCUUAUGUUUUUAGUUGGGUGUGUGUUUGAGUAUAUUUGCAUAUACCAAAAUAUGUAAGUAUGUGUGUGUAUGUCGGUACAUACUUGUUGAAGGCCAAAUUGUCCAAAUGUCAGCAGUGACUCCAUGUUAUACAAUGAGUGAGUUAUAAUCACAGUAUAUUUUAGUAUUUUCAUUUUAAAUUCUUUGCAUUGAAAUUUUUUUCUAUGACUCACAUCGGUUACUUUUAGAACAACAAAGUCACUGUUAGGGCAGUUGUGGUUUUGACACUCAGGUACACAGUGUGGAAGUGGGUUUGCUGUCCAGGUUCUGAUCAGGAAGGUGUGGUGCUGAUGUGUUAAAGGUGGCCACGCAGAGCAGUUUUAUUCCAUGAAUCAAAUUGCUCUACUAAUUACGAUUUGAAUAUUGAACCUGGGCUUCUGUUGUUGGAAUUGAUGACCUAUUACUUACGGUGAUGCAUUUCAAAACUGGGCCUUUCUUAGUGAUAUGAAGGAAAUUUUAAAUAUAUGGAUGGGUUACACAUUCUAGAAGCAUUCCAUCUGUGCAUGGCGGAGACCAAGACCUCCUGUGGACCUAAGGAAAGGUUCCUGAGGCGAACUGCUUGAAGGGGCCAUCCAAUCAACCUUGGGGACUCUCACUGCUUGAUUUAGCAUUUGAGCUGAGAGAUUGUUGCUGCUGAAUUUGGGUAAGAGGCCUAAAUGAAUAAUGGAUGAAGAUUGGCUCUUCCAGCAGUUUAAACGAUAGAAACCUGGAGCUGUGUCCAGUUUUAAGGCUACAUUUUAUGCCUGAUUGCUGGUAAGUAUUUAACAAACAUCCACCAGGCAGCUCCUGCCACUCCUCCUAGCUUUGUAGGUAGCGGGUGGCUAAUGUUCAUCCGUCUGCUUUCUCAGCAUCUACCCAACCAAGAUAGAUCAGUCUGGCUUAGGCCAGACUCUAGCACACAUGUUUAGGACCCUGUGAUAUCUAAAGUCCUCGUGUCGUCACUCUCCCUGUAGUUACUGAACCUACAAGUCUACUGUUUGCAGCCCUUCCGUGGCUUUUACUCACUGUGGGGAGCAGGACUCGGAACUGCGGUUCCUUGCCUCUACUCGUCACAUUUUACUACAUUGAUUCCUUUGUGUGAUCUGGAUAUCUCAAGCACAUGAAAAAUGCACAGAAUGCUUUUGCAUAAAGAUACGAAAAAAUCACGUGAUGUUUCAGAUCCAGUGUGCCAGAGAACGUUCUAGUAUUUGUCCUUAAUUUCAAGUGAAAAUGUGAUGCAAACCUUGACCCACGAUUGUCCUUGACCCAUUUCCAAAGGCAGGCCUGUCGGUGUUUCCUCUCCCAGGCCUCCCCUUUCGCUUUGGUUCCCUCUUGAAUGCAUCUGGAAGCUGAGCAUCUCCCCCAAGGCAGGCUCCAGCCGUCACUCAGUGAGUGCAACGCAAUGCCACAUCUGCCCCAUCCACCCUGACUUCUCAAGAAUUCAGCAUUAGCUUGAACGAUUCAUUUUGCCUUCAGCAAAUAUUUUUCUUAUUUGUCUACUUUAUAUAUUGAUCAUUGCUUUUUUAUGUAGAUGAGCGUUUCUGUAUCUUCAUCUUUUAUAACCUCUUUUUUGAGUAAUGGGAUGGGAUAGAUCCUUCAUCAGAAUCCCGUUUCUACUUACAUUACUCACAUCUCAACCUCAAUAAACGCAUCUUAUGUGGCAGAGGGAAAUUCUUUUCUUUGAAAACAAGCUUAUGUAAAAUGAAUACUACUGUAUCUUUUGAAAGAAAGUACAGUGCAUUAUCUAAUUAGAAUUAAAUUAACAGCGUAUUCUAAUUUUAUUAAUUUAUUGAGUUAUAAUUGAUAAAUAAAAGCUGUAUGGAGGUGAAGCACACAGCAUUAUGGUUUCCUACAAGUAUUCACAUGAAGUGAUUACACGUUAACUGACGUGGCUUUCACCAUUAAUAGCUGUCCUUUCAGUGUGUGUGGUGAGAAGCUCUAGAAGCCGUCCCUUGCCCAUUUCAAAUAUGCGGUGGAGCGUGACUAACUGGAGUCUCCAUGCUGUACCUUGAUGCCCAGAGCUUUGCCGGAUUGUGUGUAUAACUAGGCUGGAGAAUCAUCGUCAUACUUUUCAGAUGUGUAAUGUGACAGUGCUGAUCUUCGUAGCAUCCUUUAUAUAUAAAGCAUUUAAAAAGUAAUGGAGUCUGUGCUGGCCGUGGUUACUGAAGGGACAGUCACUUCACAGGCCGUGCUUGUUCCUCUAGGUGUCAGAUUUUGUCAAGCUCCCCUUAUUGUUUAAAAUUUUCAGCCUCUUCUAAAUGUCAGGUGGCUGGACUUCACCAAGGACAUUGCCACAGUUAAGGGUACCUGGAUCAUGAUUUCUACCUUCUAAGAUCCUGUCUUAUGAUCAAGCUUUUAUACAUUUUUAUAUUAUUUACUUUUUUUGCUCCAACAAUUCUUAUAAAUAAUUCUGUAGCUUCGGUUUUCUCAUUUCUGAAGUGUGAGGUGUUUGAUAAUGCAUGGGCUCCAUUUAAACACUAGCAUCUAUGAAUUCCUUGGUUAUGAAGCAUUUAUUGAACGUAGGUCAUGGGCGUGCUUGGCACCAUGAUAAAGACCAAAGAUUCAUAAAGAUAACCAAGACAUUUUGUGACAAUUAAAUGUUCCCAAAGUAGUUGGGAAGAUAGGACAUAUGUGAAAGAAUAGUAGAUGAUUUACAGUAUGAUGCAAUGUCAUUGAAGUAAGUGGGAAAAAUUAUGUCUGCUGUAGAAUUUUGUUUAUCUUCAAACAUUGCAGUGAUGAGCAAUUUCAGAAAGGAAUAGAGAGUCUUUAGGACCUAGAGAGGUGCGUCAUUAGGCAGAUGACUAGGAAUGAAGGAGGUCUUGAAGGGUAAGGAAUUGACCAGUUGUGCAUACCUGUCACGGGUAGGUUUCAGUGAUUAUUCUGGGUAUUACAGUGUACACAUGUGUUGGGACACAUUUACAACUUGUGUCUAGAUGUUACUACUUUGAAUAAAGCAAACUUUCCCUUUCUAUCCACACUUUUAAACACCUUCAGAUGGUGUCGUGAUUUUUGUCUCAAACACAGCACAUUUGGAGAGCUUAGGAGGAGUCUGUGUUGACUGAGAUUUCUGCUUUUUCUGUUCUUCUUGCUCCCUAAACCUCACGUGUCUUUCUCUCCUCCUGUCCUUCCUCUUGGAAGAACUUCCUAUAGCUAUUCUGAAGGUCAUGUCUUUGGUCCAUUAGUAACAUUCCUCCCGCCCUUCAAAUUUUUCUUUAUCUGAAAACGUAUUAUUUUCCUUUAUUCCUACAGAAUAAUUUCUAUUCAGAUACAAUGAUGGUUGACAGAUUUCUGAGUACUGGAAAAUUGUUGUGCCACUCCUUCCGGCCCAUGGUCCCGGGCAUUUCUGCUCUCAUUCGCUUCUGUGUCCCCUGUAGUUAACGUUUACGUCUCUCUGGAUGCUUUCCAUGAGCUACCUUUAUCUCUAGGUUUUAGAGGUUUGAUUAUGAUAAGUCUUGGCCUGCAUUUCUUUGGGUUCGUUUUAUAGAGAGUUGGAUUCGCUUAUUGAAUUUGAAGGCUUGUGGUUUUUGUUAAACUUGGGGAAUUUCCAGGUGUUAGGUCUUUGAAUACUCUUUAAGCCCACUCUCUCUCCCGCCUCAUUCUGAGAAUCCAGUGAUGUGUGCUGGACCUUUCACACCCUCCCACAGUCUACCAAGGCUAUUAUUUUUUUCCACUCUAUUUGAUCCAUUGUCUGGAUUGGGUGAAUGCUCUCGAUGUGUCCUCAAGUUUGCGAAUGAUGUUCUCUGUUAUCUCCACUCUGCUUUAGGAAACAUCUAGUGAAUUUUAUCUUUUGCUUCUAUUACUGUAUUUUCCUGUUUUACAAUUUCAAUUUAGUUCUAUUUUAUAACUUUGAUAUGUUUCCAGUGUUCUUUCUUUUUAAAAUUUAUUUUAAAAGAGUUUGUCAUCGAUGUUAAAUUAUGUUUUGCAUUGUUGCUUUCUAAAGCUUUAUUAGAUAAUUCUGACAUCUGUUUCAAAUUGGUGUUCCCAUUAGUGCCUCGUCAUUUCUCAUCAAUUUGUGAUUUUCUUAACUCUUAGUAUAAUGGGUGAUUUUCAGUUUUAUCCUGAAUAUUUUAGCUCUCAUGAUAGAAAUUCUGGAUUUAUUCAUUCAUUCAUUCAUUCAUUCAUUCAUUCAUUCAAUAAUUUGUUUAAAAAAAUUAGUAGGCACGUACAUGUUGACGUGUAGCAUACACCUGCCUUUGCUGGCUGUGGUUUUAAUAAUAAUUGAUUUUCAGAGUCCUUGUCAUGUUAUUUUGAUCUGCUGACUUUAUAGUGUGCCACGGAGGCUCUUAUUGGUCCCUGUUUGUGAUACUAAAGUGGUGGACAAAGGAGAUUUUCCCAGUCCUGGAUUCCUGUUUCCUCUAAGUGGGAGUCCCUGGCACAAACAAAAACGUUUCCCCACCUUGUGUCUCUGCUGGAGAGUUUCAUCUGAGUUUGGGAGAGUGGGUGGGCUUCCUGGCAGGCAGUUGUCAUUGCAGGAUCUCCCUUGCUGACACACCUGGCCUCCAGUGUCCCCUGGCAGGGGAGGAGUCCACAGUGAGUGGAAAAUGGAGAAGCAGCAGAUUGUGCUGAGCAAGACAGAUUUAGCCAGGCAACUGGCACUUCUCCAUCCUUUCCUUCUUUGGAGACUCCUCUCCUCCUUCUUCUCCCCUUUCUUUUUCUCUUAGAUUCAACACCUAAUACAAGGCUUUGCACAGCCUAUCAUGAUACAUUUUUAAAAAUUUUAUUUCUGCCCUUUGUUAUCCUUGCAUUUUAAAUUAUUUCAUUUCUAUGGUCAUUAUCAUUUCUAAAAGUUAUAUAUGAUGUUUCCCCAUGGACUGGCCAGAAUUCAGAAUCUAGAAAUAGAAUGAUAAAUUAGUGAUAAUAUAGCCCCUAACAUUUUUUAAUAUUGUUACUCAGAAAUCUGGAUCCUAGAUCUGAGAAUCUCAGCAUAUUUGCGUCUAUUUUCAAAUGUACUAAUUGUUAUUCUUUGAAAAUAGUGUAUGUAAUAAUAUUAAAAAUGGUAAAAUAAUAUGUAGAAACUUCAUUUUAGAAAUUGGUCAUUUGAAUUAUCAGAAACAGGAAUUGAAAGUAAAAGAACUGGUUUUAUCAUAUUUUAUUAUAAUUUAAUUCUAAAAUAACAAUAAUAAGGCUUAUUUUUUCAAAUUCCUAUAUUUCCAGGAUUCAAUAAACUUUGUAGACUUUUUUUCCAGGAUUAAGGAUGAGUCAGGUUAAUUUCACAUGUCUCCUAGAGCACUGUGAUUAUUGGUGGUCCCUUAGGCUCUGAGAAUUGAAAGUGUGGCAGUAUAACAGAAUUUAUGUAUUGUCAUUUCUUGUGAGUAACAUGGUUGAACAUUUCUUUAGAUUUCCUUCUGUGUUCUUCUUUAUUUAGCAUCCUAAUAAACACAACAUGUUAAAUGGAUGUUUACAGUGAAUUGGUCAUGGUUAGAAUGGAUUUUGUUUUAUUUCCAUUUGAGGGACUCAAGAGUUUUUAAUGUUGUCCAUGGGUUUACUUGGACACUUUUGCAAAAAAAUAAUCUCAGCAAGCUUUAACUUGAGCAAAUUAUCUUCUUAUAUGUGUUACAUGUUAAAUUUAGAGUUUUAAGAAUAUAAUGACAUAGAGGAAAAGUAGAACUGUGAUCCUACAAUCCAGGACCCAUGAAUAUGGUAUAGUAAGCAGAUUACAUUUUUAUAUAUUCCACAUUAACAUUAAUAUUAUAUUUGGAGCAUGUGCUCUUUGGGAUCUUUAAUGCAAUCAUCUUGCUAUCCACUUAAAGUGGUGUAAGUUGGAAGAAUUACAGGAUUCUAUACUGUAGGACAGACAUUCUAAUUUUUGACCAGACAUCAGGAGGCACAUUUAUUUUUCCUGGAGAAAGGAUGGUAAUUUCUUUAAUGUUUGUACAAUAUUUAUGUGAGAUUUCUUAAUUAGUUAAUACCAACUCUAGAGCAAAGAUCAUUUCUAGCUAACGCUCUCAGUGGGAAAUCAGGGAUAUUUCCCUCAAUUCUCAGGCUAGAGAAAAUGUUGAAAGGGUUUUCUAACACUAGAAAAGAGUUAUGUUGAAGCCUCAGUUGAUAAUUAAAAUUCUCAUCUGUUGUAAAGACUUUCACAAAGAAAACAUUUCACCUUGAAAAUUGUCUACUAGGACAGAAACGCCUUCCGCCAGUUGUGCUGGAUUGUCUACCCACAGUGAAUUUAACCAUUACAUUUCUUUAUUAAUGCAUGGGACCAGAAUGUGUAUGAUCAUGACUGAGAAAUGGCCUUCUCGUUCCUUUUGCCAUCAUCGUCCAUCUCCUCUACAUUUCCCAUCAACAUCAUCCUUGUCAUUGUGGUCAUCAUUGUCUUCAUCCAAAUGCCAUUUGCUGAUAAAUUAUGUCAUAAUAUAUGAUAGGACCUUAUUGGUGUAAAAUGUUUUUAUGCAAUAUUAAUAUGUUCCAUAAAAGUAUACCUUGGGAAUUUUUUAGGAAUAUGUUAAAGCAUCAACUAUAAUCAUUUUGAUUGAAAAUAAAGCAGAGACCUAUCAGAGAGCAUAUUAUGUAUUUCUGUCUCUAUAAUUCUCAUUAACUGACAUCAUUAUAAUUUAAAUAUUUAAAUACAUUAAUAAACAGUAAAUUAACUCCAUUUAUUGUAUAGUUACUAAGGUCAGACUCUGUUAAACAUCAUGAAUUACUUUGAUUAAAAUUUGAAAAGAAAUUAAAAAGUAGCAAAUAUUAUUAUCAUGAUCCCUUUUAUUUAAGGGCAGAAAGAUGAAACUUAGAAAAUUUCAGUAAUUUUCUUGUGGUUACAUAGAAUUUGGUGAAGCUGAAAUUAAAAUCUCUUUCUAUUUGCAUCUGAAAGAAAAGGAGAAUUUGGUGGUAGACAUAUAAUCUAGUUUAUAUUAGUUAAUUUUGAAUACCUGCUAUAAAAAUAUUUUGGAUUCUUGGUCUACACAUUCCUUUAAGUGAAGGAAAGCAUACAUUUUUUUUUUUUUUUAGAUUUAUUUGAGUAUUUUUACACCCAAGGGAAGUGUGGGUUAGUUAUUUAGUCCAGCAGCUGGAUUUCACUGUCGUGUGCUUCACAUUUGAAGUGUGCUGUUGUGUGAACUUCUGCCCACUGCUGGCCCCAUCUCUGGAUCUCAUUAACAUCCUGAAGCCCCCUGUGAGGGUGAUGGGAAACCCCUCUGUCCUCAGUCAAGUUGUCUGCACCACACUCCUGGGAGCUGUUCUUGUGCUGACCAGUACAUCUCAACUUGGCCGUGCCUCCUCUGAGGUUUCUGAAUGUGGUAGCAAAAAUCUCACCUUCAUGUAGCUUCCAGGGCAUCUAGACUCAGGAAGUGCAGAGUGUAACUCCUCUGUCCCUUGGCAUCCAGUGACCAUGUUCUUAUCCACCUUUACUUCCCCAAGAGCCCACAUCCAGGCACAUCUUAUCUUUUACACCAUCUCAUUAGUUGGAAUUUUAUUCGUUCUUUCUGUUUGUUCCAGGGGCCUUAUUUUCAUACUUCAGCUCUUGAGGAAAAAACAAAAAAGAAAGAAAGAAGACUGCCUUGGCAUGAAGCCUUUGUGACGGGAACCCAGCCCCUGUUGGCAGAUAUGCUUACCCUCCAAAUCCUGAUACCACCCCCACCCCCAGCCUGCUUCUCCUGCUUGCUCUCAGCUCUCCUGGGUCCUCAUGUGUCAAAAGUCAUCUCCGUUCACUGCUAAGGAACUUCAGGAAAACCCCUUUUCCAUAGCUCUUAUGCAUGUCUUAUAUAUUAUAUAUAAAAGAAGCUAAUACAAAUAGCUAUGUGUCAAAUGCAAAAGGCAAAUACAAUUUUAAUGAA
This 55893-nucleotide long non-coding RNA is filed under the name Marmota monax (woodchuck). Lineage: Eukaryota; Metazoa; Chordata; Mammalia; Rodentia; Sciuridae. The record is from RNAcentral.